GAUACAUAAAGACAAUUAAACCAAGGCUAAAAAGCCACAACAUAAAACCACCAAAACAACCCUUAAUACAAUAGAAAACAAUUACUUAGUAGAUAUUGAUAUGUCUUGUUGCAUUGAUGUUUCAGAAAUGUGUGGGUGGAGGGCAAUUUUUGUAUCGGUACUUCCCGAGUCGCUCCGAGCAGGGAUCGAAUGGGGUGGUCGGUUUUGGGGGCUUUAUUUUUCCGAUAAUUCUUCCAAUUCCGGGGGUCAAGGUAAAAGCAUCAGCAGAAUGAUGAUGAGCAAGCAUAAGAGCAGCAAGGAAUACCACUAGCAAGGAUAAGAAAAAGGAAUUAGCCACUUUAAGAAGUGAUAUUAUUAUUAGUGUUGGUGCAUAAUACAUAGAGAGUUAACUGGUUUUAUACUAGUUAGAGACUCAAUGUGAGUUUAUGGUCAAUCUAAGUCAUUUACUAAAUUCAAGAAUGUUACACUCAUAGGUACCAUGUAUUUGCUACUUGUUGAUGAUCAGUACCUAUCCUUUCAUUUUCCACACAACAAGACCAUUUAGUAUUAUUGGCUCUAUCUCUCCACUUGUUUGCACACCAAUACGAGGUUUUUUUUUAAAGGAGAAUCAACCAUUUGGAUAAUACAAUAUCCUUAUUUUAUUUAUUUGAAUUUGAAUGGCAACCACCAAGGCCACAUAUAGAAAGAAUAAUUUCCUUAAAAAAAAAGAAUAAUUUCCGACCAAUCGUACAUGAUGUCAUCGACACAACAAAAGAUAGGUUUCAUAAUAUGGCGCCAUAAUAUCCUUAUCCUUGUAAAUAUGAUUAAAAAAAACCUUGUUAAUUAAGUUGUAGGAUUUUUUUAAGUUGGAAAAUAUUAACGAGUAUCUUCAGAACAUUCUUUAAACAUUCAAAGGGGUAAGAUUUUAUGAAAGUUGAGGAUUUAUUUCAUUAGAAAUUGAAGUCUUUACAUUUCUUUUAAAGAAUAGAUUUUUCAUUAUGAUGUUUAAAGAGUGUUCCGGAGACACUUGUUAACAAAACUCUUUAAAGUUUUAGGAUGUAAGAAUUUCCCUAAAACACAUGUUAAAGAUAUGGAUGUCAAUGGGUACGGGUAGCAUGAUAUCCGUCUCUAUACCGUUGGAUAUGGUACUUGUACCUAUACUCAUACUCUUGUAGGUAUCUCUAUACGAGUAAUCCAUGGGUAUUUAAUUAAUUAUUUUUAUCCAAUGGGACCAAAACUACAAAAGGGGUUAAACAUAAGGCGGCUCUAUUGUUAUUGUUUUUAUUAGGGGAUAAAAAUCGCAACAUUUGGAACUUAGAGUGCCAAAACUGUAAUUAAACCUAAACUUUAUAGACAUAAUAUAUUUGAUAAUAACUUUUAAUCGGUCAACCCAAAAAAAAACUUCUAAUUAGUCGGUAUAAUUUUAUCUCUAUACUGAAUAUACUUUAUUCAUUAUUCUCGCCAUAUACUAUUUAAUUAUUAAUCUAUGACAAUAACCACGUACAAAGACUUUAUCUAACAAAGGAAAUCAAUCUUAGAAGAUUCAAUCAUGUGGACAAUACAACAUCCUUAUUGUAUUUGUUACAAAAUGCUUAUGACCGUAUUAUACACAAGAUAUAUAAAACAAAGCAUUAGUAACUUGGACCACUUAUUGGAUAUUUCUUUCUCCACAAUCCAUAUUAUUAUUAAUUACUUUGAUUUUUAUCAAACCAAUCUGAUAACACCACCCUCCCUUUUGCUUAAAAUAUAGUGGUAUUUCAGAUGAGGUGACACGUACACACGGACACCAUGGUUUAAUUUCUUUUGUUUCUUUGUCUACGUUUUCCUUUUUUUUAAUAAUAUUGUUUGCUCUGUGCCUAUAAUUUCAGGUAUGGAUCCUCCCUUACUUAAUUUGAGAAAAAAAUGUUAUUUUUGUGUGACUAAUUUUGAGAAAAAUAACGAAGGCAAAGGGGUGGUCCAGAUUCUCCAAUUUGUUUUGUAUCUGUACAUAUGAAUGUAAUUUAUUUUGUUGAAAUUUGGAAAAUUUCGAAUUUCUUAAAUUUAGAUAGUGUAUAUAGAACCCUAUAAUUUUAAAUUUAAGUCUUAAUCAACAUAUAUCCAAAUAAAAUGUCCAACUCAAUUGUAAUUAAUGUAUAUAUAUUUUUUUAAUAUUCUAUGUUGAAAUAUUUUGAGAAUUAACAUAACAUUAGAAAUAUUGAACCGAAAGACUUAAAAAUUGUAAGCGGAAUAGAACACAUUCACAUUUAUUGUAUAUGUACAAAGUCAAUUUAAUUAUUUUCUCUCUAUCUUCAAAAAAAAAUAGACAAUUAGGUUAUGAAAUAACAAAAAAAGACAACCAUGCCCCUUACAAUAAUAUAUACUUUAUUUGAUAAAAAUAACGGAUAACUAGCAAAUCAUGUUGUAAAAUUUAUUAUUUAGAUUAAAGAAAUGCAUUUUUAAUUUUCAUUUACAAUUUUAAGGGUAAAUAUUGCUUUACCCGGUAUAAUAUAGGUCAUUUUUGGGUUUUCCCUUUGCUAUGUUUUUUUUUUUUUUGUUUUCGUCCUUGUAAUUUUUGUUUUUUAGAAUAUCCCUCUAAUAGGCCAUUUUCAUAAAUUUUUUGUCAUUGUGCUUUAACCCAUUUCUUUCGAUGAAACGGUUGUAACAUCUCACAAACAAGCUUAUCUUUUCUUCAUUGAUAGAACCUUCAUCGGAUUCAUCUUCAUUUUGAAUAGAAGAGGUGGGCAUGGACGAAGUGGUGUUUAACGUAAUUGACUUCCUUUCCUUCUUCUUUGAAUCAUCCUCACUAGAUUUCAACUGGAUAAUUUCAUGCUCAUGUUCCUUUAGUUUACCAAAGAGUGUGAUCAUACUAAGAACAUUGAGAUUUUGUGAUUCCUUGAUAGCGGUAACCUUGGGCUGCCAUUCCCUUGUCAUACAUCUCAAAAUUUUAUUACUGCAAUCUUGGUUUGAAAUGUCAUUACCAAGGUUUUGCAAUUUCUGUACAAUAUGAGUAAAUCUCAUUUGCAUGGAAGAGAUGGAUUCACCAUCCUCCAUGCGAAAAAUUUCAUAUUGUUGUACAAGGGUAUUAAGUUUUGAUUAUUUAGCUUCAUUGGUUCCUUCAUGAAGGGUUUCCAACGCAUCCCACAUAGCCUUAGCGGUCUUUUGGAUUGGAGCUUCAUGAAGGGGACGUAUAAUAGAACACCUAUUAUACAACUCCUUAUGGAUCAACUCUUCUGGUAGUUAGCCAUUAAAGAAGAGACCAACCUCGAUGAUACCACUUGCUGAUCGAUAUGGCCAAUAAGGUUGCACGCUAGAGGGGGGUGAAUAGCGGUUAGAUAAAGUUUUUCGGAGUUUUAACAAAAAAGAUUUGAAUUGAUUUGACUAUUGGAAGCAAGCUUGAACAAUCACAACAAUUUGCAAAAAGAUAAAGCUAUGUGCUAAUAAGAUUCAAUAUAGAAUUGAGAGAUUCACAAAACAAAUCUUAUUACAAUUAAAAGUUAAUGGUUCUUGAACAAUUGGCAAAACUAGACAAUUUCAAAUACAUACCUAUAAGAAAAUAUAACAAGCUAUCAAUUGAUGAGUCUUUUAUUAUCUAUUUUAAUAUGUUAUUUAGUUUCGUUUUAAUUAGAUUUAAGUUUAUUUUAUAUUUAUAUUAUUUCCUUUUUGAACUAUUUUACUUUAAUUCCAUAUUGUUAUAUUUUAGGAACGAAUAUUUGAUGGAUUGAGUCUUGGAGCAAAAGAAAGGGAUUUGGAGUUGAUUCGGUACGAAAAUACGAAGAUUUGGAGACAAAAUAUAUCUCCCCAAAGUCAGAAGCUUGGCACAGCCCGUGCUAGGCUUGGCACGGCCGUGCCACACUCCAUAACUACUUUUGCUGCUUUUGCUUAGAUUUUAAGCUACUCUGUUUUAGUUUACUUGUGGAACAUUCUAGUGAUUGCUUAGAUUUUAAGUCGAAUGUAAACUUUAAAUAGAGUAGCCAUCCAUCACAAAUAUUCAUCUUUUCUUGGAAUGCAAUAUGUGACAAUUGUCUUUCUAAUAAAAGUUCAUUUUACUUUCUUGUUAUUUACUUUUAUGCUUUCUCUCUUCUUCUCCUUGUCUACGAUGAACAUUAGUGAGUAGACUUCUCUUGUCUUGGGAUUGUUGGAUAAGUCUAAUGACAUAAUCCUAAUCAAACCAAGCUUUAAACCUUAAUCUUAUGUAACCCUAAUUCCUUAUCUAAAUUCACCGCUUUAACAUGGAUCAACCAUUAUCAAACUGUGGAAACGAAAGUGGAGGGUUUGAUAAUUGUUUAUCCAUCAUCUCAAAUAUCAAUUCAUAAAACGAAAGUGGAGCUUUGAUAUUCGAACAAGUGAAUUUAGACAAAGAUUGUAAAGGCAGCGAAAUAGUCUUUACAAUCUUUGAGAGAUAUAGUUUCGAUCUUCAAGGGAACUAAUAAUGAUCAAGUCAGCGAAAUAGGCUUGGUUGUUAGAGGAACCAAAAUCUAAUAGUAAUCAAGUCAGCGAAAUAGGCUUGGUUGCUAGAGGAACAAAAGAGAAACUGUCUUGAGAAAUUAGGUCUAACAUAAGGUUAUAAGUUUAAUAGUUUGGUUUGUGAAGGACUUGUCAUUAGGAUGAACCAAUAAUUCCAAGGCUUUUAUCUUUUCUUUUAUUUUCUUUUAAUUAAAAACCCAAACUUUUCUAUCUUAUAAACCUUUAGUCUAAUCAUUAUCUAAAGUUAAUUGAAUUCAUAACUCCCUGUCGGAACGAUACUCUUUUCAUACUACUUCGGUAAGACCGUGCACUUGCAGUUUUAUCUCAUCAUCAAUCAAAAACACAAUGCAUAUGCAGUUGAAGAAUUGAAUAGUAAUUGAAACCAAUUGAUCCAAGCUAAGUACUAAAACCUAAUUCAAAGAAUUAUAUUAAUUUUUAUCAAAAACAACUUAGAUCAAUACAAGUUUGUCCCCUAACAAUUUAUCAAUUAACAUAUGCAACAAUUAAAAGUAAGGUGGGUAAGGAAGAGAGAUAACACCCAUAUUUUUAUAGUAGUUCGUUUUUCGUACUCGCUAGAGCUACGUCUACUCUUCUUUGUUAAAACUCCUCCCACAAGGUCAUCCACUAAUAGUAAAAAUGUUGAAUACAAAUGUGAUUACAAGAGUUCGUUGAAACUAAAAUAGUUCUUCAACGCCUAUGUAAACACUCUUCCAAACUUCAAAUAACCUUUGAAUUUGGUGUUCCUUGAAUCUUCGAAUCCUUAUUUACCUGUGCACCCCUUCGAACUCUUCACUCAAGUCUUCAAUACUACGUCCGGUAAACAAAUCCCCUUCGAUGGCAAGAACAAUUAGAAAGAACCCCUAAACCCUUUGGAGGUGGAAUAAGAUUAUUCAUUUCACUUUGGAACCUUGAUUAAGACCAACCAAUUUCCUUGAGAGAACCAUCUUACAAUCCAUAUAAGCACCCUAGGAAAUCAAUGUGACUCAAUGUACAAAGUGAUUAUAAGAAAAAGUGUUUAAUCUUGAAGAAUUUAUGAACAUUGAGUUUUUGAGUCCUAAAGAGAAUAGAUGUAAAUGACUCAAUAAUUUGGGAGUUAUGAGAAAGUGAGUAUAUAUAGUAAAUGAGUGUAUGUGCAAAUUUUCGUCCAAAAAUAACAAUUUGAAUCGAUUCACUAAGAGCAUGAAUCGAUUCAGAUAUUAGAAAUACAAGCUAGAAGAAUAAUGAAGAUUGAUGUGAUUCAGGCAAAAGCUGAAUCGAUUCAAAUACCCCAUGAUGAAGAUUUAUACGAUUCAGAUUAAAAUGAAUCGAUUCAAUGCAACUCAUAGAGUUUUAUGAUACGAUUCAGAUUUGAAUGACUCGAUUCAGGAGUGAACCGAUUCAGGAUAUAUUGAGUCGAUUCCCGCAAAGUCAGAGAGUUUGCGUGAUACGAUUUAGAUAGCUGUGAAUCGAUUCAUCUGUGCAGAAACAGAAUUUUGAAAGCAAAUGAAGGAAAUUUUGACACACGGGUAAAAAGAACAUUAUGCCACAGAUCACUAAGGUGCUUUAACAAGUUAUAAGUCUAGUUUACAAAGACAGAAACAAUAUGCUAGGAAAGACAAACUUGCAAUUAAAACAUCAUCAAAAUGACGGUUGGAAAAACAAGCUUCAAAUUUCACCAGCCUCAUUUAAUAUGGUCAACAUUAGUUGACUUUUUAUCUUUGCAGGAAUCGAAGUCUUUUUCUUGAACUUGAGGAGUUUUGACGAGAUGUUGGACUUAGCAUGAAAGGGGUCUAAACGCCCUUAGGUUCGACUAGACACGAGUCAGCGAUGCAAAGCUAUCGAAGUCAAGCAACUUCCGUUGAGGCGGGAAGAUUUGAAUUUCAAAGAGAAGCGGUUUCCUCAAAGGAGAACGUGGGAUAAAAACAGUUGUCUCAAUGGAAGAAGUGAUGAUUGUGGGAUUAUGCUUUUGCCGGUUAUUUUCCUAUGUAUAAAUAGUAGUUUUCCAUAGGGAAAAUGGAUCGCAAAUCACCUAUACAGAAUUCUAAAACACUCGAAGCAUUGGUGUGAGAGAAAAGAGUCACAAAGAAUAUAUUUAAAGGAUCUGCUGGACCACCUUUAUAUUUAAUGCAUUGUAUUUUAAUUUUCCUUUGAGUUUAUGCAAUUUAAACUUAAUGUCUUUACCUUGCUUUAAAAACCCUUUUUUCUUUCGAAAGACGUCACACUGUCUCGUCUUGUUCGUAAAGAAACCUAUGAACUCGACGGACACUUCAAAAACAAAUGCACAACAUGUCCUGGGAUUUUUGGUUUGAUCCUACUUGUAAUAACCAAAACAACCCUCGUUGUUUACCAAAAACACCGUAAACAAUAUCAAUCGAUAAAAUUAAUAAUCGACGUUCUCAUAAAAAAACAAUUGAUAGUAAUUUAUUUAUUUUUGGUACAAUAAACCAAACCCCGUAAUUUCAAAUUAUUUAGCACAUAAUUAAUAUAAUUUAAAGUUAUAUACAAGAUAUUAAUUAUUUUGACGAUAGUAAAUUAUCAAAUGAUUUUAUAUCAAUAAUAUUUUUUAGAGUUAAUAAGGUUUUUUUUUUGGUAGAUAGACAAAUUGGCAAAGCCAUUAUAAACUCACACACACAAGUGAAGGUACCGGGGUUCGAACCCCGGUCAUGGCAUCCGGCCUAACAAUUUCGGCAUUUUGCCAGUUGAGCUAGGACUUCUGGAUGAGUUAAUAAGGUUUUACCCCUUGUAAUAUAAGUCAUUUUCGAUUUUACACUCUGUAAAUGUUUUUUUUUAUUUACCCUGCUAAUAGGCCAUUCAAAAAUGAAAAUUUCUGAAAAAUAAAAAUAAAAAUUGGUUUUAGAAUGACCAAUUAGGGGGUAAAUGAAAAAUAUUACAGCGGGAUAAAUAAAAAAAAUUACCGGAUGUAAAACUGGAAAUAACCUAUAUUAGAGGGGGUAAAACCCUAUUAACCGUAACUUUUACAAAAAAUUAAUAAUAAAUUUUAUAGACAUAAUAUAUUUGAUAAUUACUAAUAGUUAGCAACCCCUAGAGAAAAAAAAUACUUGUAAUUAGCCAGAAGAGUUUUAUCGCUAUAGUAUAUAAACACGGAAAGCCACCAUUGAAUAAGGAUCAGGAGAGAGGGCACAAUACAUGGACAAGAGGCGAUUUAAUUCCUUUAGAAAAAAUCUUUGUAUGUGGUUAUUGUUAUAAAGGGAUGGAUUCAUCUCCGGUCCAUGUAUAUUGCUCUCUCUCUCAUGUUCCUUAUCCAAUGGUGGCUAUGAGAUCAUAAAGAAAACAUUUUAUAAUAUUACUCUAGGUGAGAGAGAGAGAGAGUCAACAAGAGAGGAUCCAGAUCCUUUUCUAAAGGAGAAUCAACCAUCUAUCGCUAACAACAAAUUAAAACCCUUCGGGUACAAAAAUAACGACUAAAGUAAAAAUAUAAAUGAAACAUUGAACUGUUUUAUGAAAUUAUAAUAAACUUCAAAGGGUAAAAUUGGUUUUUAGAUAAUCAUAAGGGAUUACCAAGCAGAGUUAUAAGUUAUAAGCUUGUGAUGAAACGACGGUUACCACUUAUAGAACUAACAUAAAAAAAUUAAUAGUGAGGGAUGUCUAAUGAAGAUUGGUAGCUAGUAGUGUUAUGUUGUUCAUGAAGUUACAGUUAUAUAUAAAUAUUGUAAGUGGGUGUUGUUUAUUGAAGAUAGGGAGAUCAAAGGGGAAAUGCUGGAAAAUGAUGAUGGAAAAAUAUAAAUCGAUAUUAUCUUUUAUAAUAGUCCUUAUGAACAUCAAAAUUAAGUUUGGUAUUUUUCAUUAUUCAUGUCGGCGAUUUUUACUAGUUUUGAUUUAAGUAAACGUUUUGAUUGACUUCAAUGACUAAAGUAACUAAGAGAAUAAAGAGUGAAGGAUUUAAUUGGCGUUUUAUUCAAGUCGUGGACCAAAAUUAAAUCAUGUUACACUUCUAAGGAGAAAAAUGGUUGUUUUUCCAAUAAUGUUUUCCAAUAUUAAAUUAAAGUUUAUUUAUGCCUUAGGGAUGUUACCAACCAAUUUGUUGGGUUGGAGUUACCUUUGGUGCUUAAGAACAUUUAGACCAAUAAAAAUAUCUUAGAGUACCUUUUAAAGUGGCAAGUACAUAUAGAGUCAUUGUCAAUUGAUGUUAGUACUAAUCAUGGACUAUUUAUUUGCAAACUUGUUUGUUUUUUAGUAGAUUUUUUUUUAAACAGCAAAUUUUAUUUAUAUGCUAACCCAACACAAGAAGUGAAGAGGCUAGAGGAAAGACACAAGAUAACAGAUACAUAAAGACAGACAACUAAACCAAAGGCCAAAAAGCCACAACACAAAACCACCCAAACAACCCUUAAUACAAUAGAAUCACAGCAGAAAAACCUUAACCAAAUCAAGCAAAUUAAAAACAAUUACUUAGUUGAUAUUUGUAUGCCUUGUCGCGUUGAUGUUUCAGAAAUGUCUAGGUGGAGGGGAAUGGUGGUGGGGGGGAAGGGGGUGAAUGUUUAUAAGGUCGAAAUUUGACUACAGGAGGACGGUAAGGGGGUAAAUGUCCUGGGAACUGGUUGGAUGGAGGUUUGAAUAUUGGAGUGAUAUGAAAGGCAGCAUCAGCAAAAUGUUGAGGACCAAACAUAAGAGCAGCAAGGAAUACCACUAGCAAGGAUAAGAAAAAGGAUUUAGCCAUUUUAAGAAGUGAUAUUAUUAUUAGUGUUGGUGCAUAAUACAUAUGGAGUUAACUGGUUUUAUACUAAUUAGAGACUCAAAGUGAGUUUAUGGUCAAUCAAAGUCAUUUACUAAAUGUCAAAAUUGUGUAUGAAUUGAAUUAUUCAACAAUGUUACAAGGUCCAUGUAUUUGCUACUACUUGAUGAUCCUUUCAUUUUCCACACAACAAGACCAUUUAGUAUUAUUGGCUUUAUCUCUCCGCUUGUUUGCACACCAUAUGGUUGCGCUCCUUAAUUCUGAAAUAUAGAAUGAUUUUAAACUCAUUUUAGAUUCUCCAAAAAUUAAAAUCUCAUUCCUACGACAACAGAAAAUGGAAGAAACACAAGAUUGUUGGUGUAUUGGUAGCUUACAGUCUGUUGGAAAAAUUCAAUAAGCUAGUUUAUAGUUUCUUUUAAAAAGUAUAUGAGUUUAUAGUUUAUUUUAUUAAUUCCUUUUUCACAAUUGCUUACCUGUAAGAUUAAAAAGUAUAUGUUUCACAAUUGCUUUUUCAUCACAGACUUAUAGUUAUUUUAUUAAUUUAUAGCUUAUUUUUUAGAAGUUAUUUCAAAUAGUGUAUGAGCUUAUAAUUUAUUAUUUUUAUUUCACGCUUACCUUUCAUCAAAUGAUGGAACCGCUUUCCGGACCCUGCGUAUACGUGAGCUUCAGUGCACCGGGUUGUCCUUUAUUUCAUGCUUACCUUUAUUAUUUUGUCUCAAAUUUAUUUUUAUCCUUUAUAAUUUGUAAUAAAGAAAAUGCUAAAAUGUUCUAAAAAAUUGAUAAUUAAGUCAUAAAAUAUUUACAUUCUAAAAAUAUUCAUUCCAACUUUGUUUAAAGAUGCAUCUUCAUCAUCAUAUUCUUGUAAAAAAAUCAAACAGUAAAUUUCAAACGGAAAUUCUUAAAAUUCUUCAAAAAUGCUUUUAUUUGUACAAUUCUAAAGAAUUUAACCACUCCUUAAAAAAAAAAUUAACCAUGUGAUGAUCAGUACAUAUCCUUUAAUUUUACACACCAUAAAAUCAUUUAGUAUUAUUGGUACUAUAACAAGGUAAUGAGUGGAAGUUAUUUGCUACUAAUAUUCUUGAAUUAAGAUUUAGAAAAACCGUACUCCAAGAGCAUGAUAAAUUUUGCAAAUCUAUUCAAAAAAGAGUAUUGACGAGUUUUACAUUUACACGCUCCUUGAACAUUCAUCAAUAUAUCAUCAACAAAACCAAUAUGUAAAUACUACUCCGUCCCUAAAUAUAUAGGAGUCUUUUGUAAAAAUUACGGAGAUUAAGAAAGUUAGUUUUAGUAUUAAAUUUGAAUAUAAUUACUAUUGUUUUUACGAUUUUAUCCUUAAGAGAGAGUUAAUUUAUGUUUUCAACAUAAUAUUUAUUUUUGAUUGAAGAAAAAGAUGCAAAAUAAAUAAAGGUAUGUUACUAAAUAAAUAAUUAAUGUACUAGGGACGGAGGUAGUAUUAGAUAAGGAACAUGAAUAUUUGGGAGGAAAAAUUCUUUGCAUAAGAGGAUCGUCUUAAACAACAAACUGAAAUUAAAAAUACUUGCAAUUGCGGAAGUCUUAAACAACAAACUGAAAUCAUAUCACGAAUAUUAUUAAGUUAUGGACCAAUUUGUAUGCAACAGUUAACCACCAACUACUGCAAGAAAAUAUCAUAUUAGCUACCAAAAUCUAGCUACGGUCUAUUGCUCUAGUUAAUUUGUCUUUAAUUAGCUUUGCUCUUACUACAAGUGAAGUUUGCUAGCUGAUGCUUACACUUGUUCGUUUUUUUUUUUUUUUUGAUUGUACCCAAAUAAAACUAUUUAGCAUCACUGCAAAUGCAUUUUUUUUCAAUUCUUUUGUUUAUGCAAUUUAGAUUCACUCUUGUGGAAUCUAUAAUGUGGACUCUAUAAUAUAUAUUGUUGAUGUUAAUAUUUUUAAAAUUUUAUUUUCAAAUGAGCGUUCAAAUAUACUGAUGCUAAAAUUUUGUAAAUUUUAAUUCUACAAAAAGCAUGCAUGAAUACUUAUGCAAAAAAAAUUACUCAUUUUUUUCUUUAUUUAUUUUGACAAAAUUUCAUUUUCCCCCAUUUAUCUUCUUUCCCACAAUUUUUUUAACACUUCCCGAAAUCUUUUUCCCACUAAUAUUUUAUUUUCCUUUUUCUUUUUACAACAAUUCAUUUCCUCAUCGAACAAAAAGGGAAAACUCAAGAUGUGAAAAAUCAAUAUGAGAAAGCCAUUUUCUCAAUGUGAGUUUAUGGUCAAUAUAAGUCAUUUACUAAAUUCAACAAUGCUACACUCAUAGGUACCAUGUAGUAUUUGCUAGUUAUUGAUGAUCAGUAGCUAUCCUUUCAUUUUCCACACAACAAGACCAUUUAGUAUUAUUGGCUUUAUCUCUCCACUUGUUUGUGCACCAUGGUUGCACUCAUUAAUUCUGAAUUAUUAUAGAAUGAUUUUAAACUCAUUUUAGGUCCUCCAAAAAUUAAAAUACUCAUUCCUACGACAACACAAAAUGCAAGAAACACAAGAUUGUUGGUGUAUUAUAAGCCUGUAAGAUUAUACCGUAUAUGUUUCACAAUUGCUUUUUCAUCACAAGUUUAUAGUUUAUUUUAUUUGAAGUUAUUACAAAUAGUGUAUGAGCUUAUAAUUUUUUUUUUUUAUUUCAUGCUUACCUUUAUUAUUUUGUUUCAAAUUUAUUUUUAUCCUUUAUAAUUUGAAAUAAAGAAAAUACUAAAAUGUUCUAAAAAAUUGAUGAUUAAGUCAUAAAAUAUUUACAUUCUAAAAAUAUUAAUUCCAACUUUGUUUAAAGAUGCAUCUUCAUCAUCAUAUUCUUGUAAAAAAAAUCAAACAGUAAAUUUUAAAUUGAAAUUCUUAAAAUUCUUCAAAAAUGCCUUUAAUUUUCCACACCACAAAACCAUUUAGUAUUAUUGGUGCUAUGAAAAGGUAAUGAGUGGAAGUUAUUUGCUACUAAUAUUCUUGAAUAGAUUUAGCAAAACCGUACUCCAAGAGCAUGAUAAAUUUUGCAGACGGUGAAAAUUUAUUGUGACAAUAAACUAUUUAAAAAAGAGUAUUGACGAGUUUAACAUUUACACUGUAUAAACCCAAAUAUGCAAAAACCCAUAUACUUCUUGAACAUAUCAAGAAAACCAAGAUGUAAAUAUUAGAUAAGGAACAUAAAUACGUCGGAUGAAAAUUUCUUUGCAUAAGUGGAUCGUAAUAAAAAUUAACAAUAAGUUCUUAAAUACAUGCUUCUGAAAGUCUGAAAUACAAUAAAUACAAUAUGCUCUUAAAUUAACAAUAUCAUAGAAAGUCUGAAACUAAAAAUUGCGGAAGUCUUAAACAACAAACUGAAAUCAUAUCAGAAAUAUUAAGUUAUGGAACCAAUUUGUAUGUAAUAGUGAACCACCAACCAUUACAAGAAAAUAUCAUAUUAGCUACCAAAAUCUAGCUACGGUCUAUUGCUCUAGUUAAUUUGUCUUUAAUUAACUUUGCUCUUACUGCAAGUGCAAUUUGACUGGCUGAUGCUUACACUUGUUCGUUAUUGUAUAAAAAAAUUAAAACAAAUUGUAAUGUCUUCUGAUGCCUUUUGGAUCUUCAUUGAUGGUAUUUCCUAGUUCUUCACAAGUCUUUAAGAUGUUCUGCUUUGCGUAUUUGCAUAAUUUCUUCUUGAAUUAUAUAAAAACUAGAAUUACAUGAGUCAAACAGAAAACAUUACAAAUAUCCCAAAAACCAUAGGAAAUUGUUCUAAUACUCCAUUCUGGAUUAAAACUAAUUGAAAAUGACUGGAAAAACAUGCCAAGAAUAACGUAAGAUGAUAUGUUAUCACAACCUCAAACUUAAACUGUUGUUUGUCGGCAAGUAACGAACGAAAAUAAAUUUUAAUUUUGCAUAUUUUUCAAGAAAAACAUAUCUUUUCAAAGAGGUUGCUCAGAUCGUCUUCUCGUCUCAUUUACAGACUUGACUAACUUACACCUUCCAUGAAAGCGCGACAGAAUUAGAGAAUAUAGCCCAUACUCUCAACCACACUCUUAUCCAUGAUACAUGCAUGUAUCACACAAACUCGGUAGGGUUGGUCACGAUAUUUGUCCACUCUAGUCGUCACAUGAAUGUAUCUUGAUGUAAAUUUGAGAGAACUCUAAACAGACAGUCAAGAUCAUACUAUAUACAAAGUAUUAGUUCUUUCAAGGUUAUAACGUAUCUUAGGUUAAGGUGAGAUAUAUUAGAAAAGUAGGCUAACAAAACAACUUGAAGUUAGAUUAUCAACCUGAGGUUUCCUACUAAACAUUGAAGUACUACUAACAUUCCUUCCUUAAACCAAACAAGAUGGGUAUUAAAUAGAACUAUUUAUCUUUUCCUACAUUUGUUUUAAAAGACCAAAAUAUUUGAUGUUUUUAGCUCUUGAUUUUUUCUUUUUUCUAUUUUUUUAUGUAGACCCAUGGUUAUCAACAUUUUUUCAUUUUUUUUCUUUGUGAUAUAAAUAAGUUCUCUGGUAGCCCUUCCUCAAAAAGAAAUCCAAGUUUAGUUUCAAAUCAUACCAAAUUAUUAAAAAUAUUAUAUCUAACUCCAAGAGAAAUCAAAUAGAUGACUUUAAGGAUCAAAACACCCACAACGAGCCGGUAAUAACACAACGCCUAAAACUGAAAAAAAACAAUGCGUCGAAACUCGUUAAGACAACCGUUAGUCUAAUUGGCUAUAUAAGCCUUAAGGUACUAUUAGACAUAACAAUUCUUUCUUAAUAAAUAUUAUUUUCAUUUCACUUUUUCUAUAUUUUGUUUUCAUUUAUGAGUUCCAUCAAGAAUUGUGAUAAUGUGUCACUUGAAAAAAAGAUAGACUAAUGUCACUUAUGAGUUCUAUCAUGAAUUGUAAUAAUGUGUCACUUUUAUAUACAUAUGUUUCAGUAUGGACGGACUGAAGUCAAACACACGUUAGUACUUAGCCAAAAAGCUCGACAAAGUUUCUGGUAACAUAUUUAAUUAAAAUUCAAUAUAAAUAAAAGUGUGAAAAAGCUACUCAACCGUACAAGUUGCCUUUGCAUCCCAGUGCAACUGACACAAAUGUGGUAGCCUCGGUUAGGCUACUAAUACAAUGUGUUAGUUUACAUCAAAAUAUAUAUUCUUUUUAUCAGCAAAUAAAAUUAACAACAGUCCGAGCGCAAUAACCCGAAAGACUUACAGGUACGAGUGAGAAGGAAAAGCAUGCAGAAAACGACUUCUAUUAGUUCGACAGUUUCGUCAAAGGGUGCAGUGAAUGAAUUUGUAUGAGAUGAUGGGUUAGGGUUCUAUUGAGAAGAAUUUCUGGGUGGAGAUGAGAGGGUUCAGUGAGAAGUUGAGAUGAUGGCAUAUGGUUUGAAGGGUUCGGAGUAGAGAAGUUAAAAUUUGAAGGAUCUGUGGGUAGAUGUUUGAGAGGUUUAGGUUCGAUGAAGUGAUUUUGGUAGAAGUUGUGUUUUGGGUGCAGAAAAGAGGAGAGGGAAUGAACAAUUACUUCAGCGCCAGACGCAAAAUUUUGCGGUUUAUUUUUUUUUUUUUUAUUUAACUUUUUUUUUUUUUAAUUUGGUAUGCCGUAUGUGCAAAGAUAGCCCUUCCCCAUUAAACGCUAACAAAUCAUUUACACCAAUAUUAGCGUUCACUAGAAAACGCUAUCACACUCUUAUCAUCACACACCUUUUUUUUUUAUAAUUUUUUUUAAUACCAUAUAAUAGCACUUUCUAUAAAAGGGCUAAUAUAGGUGUCACGUUAUAAUAGCAUGCGUAACGGAAGUGCUAUUAUUAAUAUUAGAGUCAAUCUUUUCAUAGCAUUUUCUCUAAAAGUGCUAUUAAAUUAGCGUUUCCGUUAUAAUAGUCCUUAUGAACAUCAAAUUAAGUUUGGUAUUUUUCAUUAUUCAUGUCGGCGAUUUUUACUAGUUUUGAUUUAAGUAAACGUUUUGAUUGACUUUAAUGACUAAAGUAACUAAGAGAAUAAAGAGUGAAGGAUUUAAUUGGCGUUUUAUUCAAGUCGUGGACCAAAAUUAAAUCUUGUUACACUUUUAAGGAGAAAAAUGGUUGUUUUUCCAAUAAUGUUUUCCAAUAUUAAAUUACAGUUGUUUUAUGCCUUAGGGAUGUUACACUUAAUUGAUAACUUAAAUAAGGUUUUUGGAGGUAAAUAAGAAAGAUGCAAAACCUCCAGCCAAGCCAAAACAACCCCGUUUCGAUUUGUGAACUUGACCAUAAUAUAUUAUACACAAGAUAUAUAAAAACAAAGCAUUGGUAACUAGUAGAUUUUUUUUUUUUAACAGCAAAGUUUAUUUAUAUGCUAACCCAACACAAGAAGUGAAGAGGCUAGAGGAAAGACGCAAGAUAAGAGAUACAUAAAGACAGACAACUAAACCAAGGCCAAAAAGGCACAACACAAACCACCUAAACAACCCUUAAUACAAUAGAAUCACAGCAGAAAAACCUUAACCAAAUCAAGCAAAAACAAUUGCUUAGUUGAUAUUGGUAUGCCUUGUCGCAUUGAUGUUUCAGAAAUGUCUAGGUGGAGGGGAAUGUUGUCUUAUAUGUGGUAAUACAGGUGGUAAUCCAUGUGGUAAACCCCUUACGAAUGGAGUCAAAUUGGUAAAUUUUUGUUCUGGGAUAGUAAUUGGAGGGAGAUUGCAAAAUGUUGAGGAGAAAACAUAAGAGCAGCAAGGAAUAACACUAAUAAGGAUAAGAAAAAGGAUUUAGCCAUUUUAAGAAGUGAUAUUAUUAUUGUGUUGGUGCAUAAUACAUAUGGAAUUAACUGGUUUUAUACUAAUUAGAGACUCAAUGUGAGUUUAUGGUCAAUCUAAGUUAUUUACUAAAUGUCAAAAUUAUGUAUGAAUUGAAUUAUUCAACAAUGUUACAACUUCCAUGUAUUUGCUACUAGUUGAUGAUCAUUAACUAUCCUUAAUUUCAUUUUCCAUACAGCAAGACCAUUUAGUAUUAUUGGCUCUAUCUUUCCACUAAUAGGUAUGUAUUUGAUAAAUUUUAUACACAUUUUUUUUAAAUAAUUAUUUUUAUUAAAUCGCCCUUAGAAAAGUAAAAAAAAAAACAGCCUUUAAUUAGCCGCUAUAGUUUUUUUUUACAAAACUAGCCAGUAUAGUUUUAUCUCUAUAGUCUAAAUACAUUAUUGUUGUCAUUUACUAAAAUUAUUGAUCUAUAACAAUAACCAUAUACGAAGAAUACCUCAAAAAAAAACAAAAAACGUACGAAGGAGAAUCAACCAUCUGGAUAAUACAUAUCCUUAUUUUAUUUAUUUGAAUUUGAAUGGCAACCACCAAAGCCACAUAUAGAAAGAAUAUUUUCCUACCAAUCGUACAUGAUGCCCAUAACAAAAGAUAGGUUCCAUAAUAUGGCCCCAUAAUAUCCUUAUCCUUAUAAUUAUGGUUCAGAAAAUAAAAAACCUCGUUAAGUUUUAGGAUUAUUUUAAGUUGAUAAAUAUUAACGAGUAUCUUCAGAGCAUUUUUUAAGCAUCUAAAGUGGUAAGAUUUUAUGAAAGUUGAGCAUUUAUUAUAUUGGAAAUUGAAGUCUUUACAUUUCUUUUAAAAAUAAUUUUUUCAUUAUAAAUGCUUAAAAGAUGCUCCAUGGACAUUCAUUAACAGGACUCUUUUAAGUUUUAGAAUGUUAGCAUUUCCCUAAGACACAUGUUAAAGAUAGAGAUAUAUUAUGGCCUCUCACGGUAGCACCCGCCUACGUAGCGAGUUUAUGGUCAAUCUAAGUCAUUUACUAAAUGUCAAAAUUGUGUAUGAAUUGAAUUAUUCAACAAUGUUACAAGCUCCAUGUAUUUGCUACUAGUUGAUGAUCACUAACUAUCCUUUCAUUUUCCAUACAACUAGACCAUUUUUUUUUAGUAUUAUUUGCUCUAUCUCUCCACUUGUUUCCACAAAUAUGAUUAAUUUUUUUCGAAAAUUUUGUUUUUUUAAAUAUGAUAUUAUGGAAAACAAAAUUCGAAAAUUUGAAUAUAUAUUAAUCUUUUCCACAAUUUUUUUAAAUAUUUCCCGAUUAUUUUUAUAAUUUUUCCAGAUUUUUUUCAUUAUUUUUUAUUUUACCAGAUUUUUUUAAUCAUUAUUAAUUUUUACAUUUUUUUUUUAAAAUUUUUCAGUAUUUUUUUUAAUCAUUAUUCGUUUUUUAAAUUUUUUUAUUUUUAUUUUAAAAAAAUCACAAAUGCCACGUGGCGUUCAUUUACACGCGUGGCAUGAAAAAAAUUAAACAAAAAAAAAUUGACACGUCACUGCCACGUAGUAGAUUCUGCCGACACAUUGAGGUGAGGGGUCAAUCCUGAAGAAUCUUCAUUUUUCAAGGGUGGAAUCUAAAAAAAAAAAAUUACAGGGGCUAAAACCAAAAGUGCAUUAUAUUACAAAGGCCAAAAACACUAUUAACACUAUAUUAUUACUUCUUCUUUUUUAUAAAAAUCCAAAUAAAAAUCAUUUGCAUUGCAGCCAAUUGGCCAAAUGCAACAUGACAAGCGCAAAAUUGCUCCAUGUUGACUUGUGAGAACUCUUGUUCUAGAUAGAGAACCUUAUAGUUUUUGUUGUCACAGAAAAUGUUAAACAACUUUUUCCAUGCAAUUUAUGCGUCUGAAUCGCGCUUGAUGAUGGUGAUGAGAAUAUAUUCUGAGGUGGUGUCAUAUAUCCAUUAUAAUACGACAACAUCAAAAAGCGGCCAAAGAUUGGGAUUGAUUUCUUUGAGAGAGGGAGUUGUUGGCUUAUUAGUGGGUGAGGGAGGAAUGAUGUGAUGAAAGACUUGAUGAACCCUUGCAUGAAUUUUAAAGAGUUCGAACCACGUAUUAUAUUGGACCCUUUUUUAUACUAAACGUAACCUUGAUGAAAUUGGUGAUAAUUGAAAAUGGUGGUAGAGGGAUGGAUAGGUGUGGAAGGAGUUGGGGUUGAAAUUGUCCUUCGAGUGGUAGUAUUUUUGGGGAUGAUUCGGCCCUGAUGGUGAAUGAAGGAGAAGAGGAACGAUGGCGCUGUAUUAGGUUUACGAGAGAAGGAUGAGUACCAAUAACUUACUGAUACCAUGUAAGAAUUAUAAUAAGAUAAUUAUUAGUCGUGUGUCAUUUGCAUUGAGAGGAUCCGUUGACACUAGGUGUCAAACUUUAGUUUGACAUCAAAUCUCAACCGUCUAUUAUGUCUAAUCUAAUGGUCUGUGAUUAUUUAUUAAAUUAACUUGUGUGAUCUUUUUCCCAUGUCUCACCUGAUCCCACGCCGGCUGUUCUGCUCCAUCUCCUUCAACUUAUCAAAGUUAAUAUGGCCAACAAUCAAAUACACACACAAAUUAAUUCUUUUAUUUUUUAAAGAAGAAGAAGCUAAAUUAGCCCACACAAAUUGGCACCGGAGAGAAUCGAUCCUGAGACCUCGAGGAGGAGCACACUCCCAGAUCCCAAGUCAAUACCACCAGACCAACCCAAAUGAUAAAUAAGGAGUUAAUUCUAAAUAAGGAGUUAUACAUAUAAUUACAUAUUGUUGACAUUAAUUGUUCUCUGUGGGGCAAGAUACUUGAGGUGUAAGUUUCAUAAGAUGCAAGUUCUUUUAAGUCUAAAUUGUCUUAUACUUACAUUAUUUUAGGUCUAAAUUUCAGAAACCAUUAUCACAAAUUUUUUGACAAUCUUAUAUCACAUACUCGUACUAUAUUUUUACUUCUCUUUUUGUUGUUUUGGUUUUUGUUUUCAUACCUAAUUUUCCUUGUAAAUAUAUAGUUGUCUCAUAAAUUAUCGUUAAAAUUGUUGUUCAAAUAACACAACUCUUAUUUCUAAUACUCAAAAUUUGUUCAAAUUAAGUUUUUAAAGAACUUCUAAUAAAAUCAGAUUAAGUUUUUUUGAACUUUCUAAAUACUUAAAUUGAAUUUUCUCGAAUAUACAUCUUGGAGAAAGAAAAAAAAUAAUUAUAGGAGGGAGAUGCAAAACUUACGUUUUCUUUCUCUAGAAACAUAUUUUGAGUUUUCAAUAUCAUCAAAAUCAUAAACUUUAUUUAUUUGCAAAUCUAGAGCACAUAUAGCACGAUUUUCUCUCAUAAUUUACAUUGAUAUAACACAUAUUAUGUUCUUACCUUGCCCAAACAUUCGGGAUUUAAUUGAUAAUGUAAAAGAUGUUUUCAAAUGUAGAAUAAGAAAGAUGGAAAACCUCCAAGCCAAAUUAUACACAAGAAUAUAAAACAAAGCAUUUACUUGGUAGAUAAUAUUUUCUUUUUAAACAGCAAAUUUUAUUCAUAAUAAGAUAACCUAACACAAGAAGUGAAGAGGCUAUAGGGGAAAGACACAAGGUAACAAUACAUAAAGACAACUAAACCAAUGCUAAAAAGCCACAUCACAAAACCACCCAAACAACCCUUAAUACAAUAUAAUUGAACCAGUUUCCAUCAACACCACAUCAAUAGACCCCUAAAUAAUUGAACAAAAACCAGCCACCUAAACUUCCUGGUACCAGUAAAUUACAAUUACUUAGUAGAUAUUGAUAUGUCUUGUUGCAUUGAUGUUUCAGAAAUGUGUGGCUGGAGGGUAAUCUUUGGGUCGUAACUUCCACAAUAUCUUCGAGCAGCGAUUGAUUUUGGGAGGUUUGAAUUUUGGCAAGGCAGCAUCAACAGCAAAAUGUUGAGGAGCAAGCAUAAAAGCAGCAAGGAAUAACACUAAUAAGGAUAAGAAAAAGGAAUUAGCCAUUUUAAGAAGUGAUAUUAUUAUUGUGUUGGUGCAUAAUACAUAGGUAGUUAACUGGCUUUAUACUAGUUAGAGACUCAAUGUGAUUUUUUGGUCAAUCUAAGUCAUUGUGUAUGAAUUCAAUCAUUCAACACGUAGGUUCCAUGCAUUUGGAAAACUAGUUGAUGAUUAAUAAUGUUCAAUAUAUUAGGCUAUGAAUUGUUUAUGAAUUGAAUUAUUGAACAAUGUUACAUGUUCCAUGUAUUUGCAACUAGUUGAUGAUUGGUAGCUACCUAUCCUUUAAUUUUCCACACAACAAGACCAUUCAGUAAUAUUGGCUCUAUAUCUCCACUUGUUUGCCCACACCGUGGUUUAGCUGAAAAAACAGUGUACUGGAGGUGGAACAUGUUUUAAUAACAUUAAUAUGUAGAUAUUAUUAUUUAUGCAUUGAACCCUGUAUUGAUAAAAAUUCCACAUAGGUUACUUUAUUUGUCAUUUAUGCUUGAAUAUAUAAAUACAAAACAGUGUUUUUUCUUAUUAAAAUAGGGGGAUUUUAGGCUAGCUUUUGUUAUUCUAAUUAUACCCUUAAAUAAAUAAAAAAUCAAAUAAUGUAAUAUUGUUGGUAUAAUUAAAAAAAUAAGAAUUUUUGUUAUAUUAUUGUUGUCAUUGAGUAAGAUAAAUAUGGUUUGUUGAGUUUGUUACAUUUGAAAGUCACAUAUAUUUAUACUUAUAAUUUUAAUCUAUAUCAAAGAGUUUAUAUAAAAUAUCGGUUGUAAUUUACACGCAAAAUUUCUAUAAAUUAUCGUAGAUAAUCUAUACACGUUAACGUAUUAAAAAGAGUAGAAAGAUGCGCAUGUGACUGCCCGUAUUUUGGUCCCUUAACUUCUCUCUCUUACACAUUUUGGUCCUUUCCAUUAGUUUAAUUCAAAAACGUUGAAUUUUCUUCAUCUUCUUCUCCUCUUUUUCAUCUUCAUAUCAUCUCCAUCAACCUUCAACAACAAGAAUCCCAAAAAAAAUUAUAGAAGAAAAUGAAGAAAACCUAACGUUUUUGAAUUAAAACUAACGGAAAUGGCCAAAAUGUGUAACAGAGAGAAGUUAUGAGACCAAAAUAAAUCGAAUUUUAAUUAAGGGAUCAAAGCGAUACUACCUAAAUAGUUAAGGGACCAAAAAUGCAAUUUAGCCUAUAAUCUAAUAUCAUCGUUAUUAAAUAUUAUUUUAUAAUCUAAUAUCAUUGUUAUUAAAUUUUAUAGCAAGUAUCAAACGAAGAACCGAGAGUUGUUGUUUGAUAUUGUUAUUUAAUCAUGUCUCGUAUAUCAAAGGAAGGAUCGAGAGGUAAAAUUUGAUAUUGGAAUAAAUGAGAUUGUAAACGAUAAGCAAAAUAUGAGAAAAAUUUUGUGACUCUUAUGACAAUAAGGUUAUAAGGUUGCACUCAAAAAGUUUUAAUGAUUAUCAACUAUGAGAAUAGGUUUAAUUACUGUUGAGAUACAUUCAUGUAAUCUGAUAGGAAACAUGAAAUAUCAAAGAACAUCUUGUCCUUAGAAACGAAUAGAGAAAUAUAUAGGGAAUGUUUAGAAUUUAACUUUAUGAUGAAAACCUCAAUCUCAUGACGCAUUUUAAUAUCUGAAUUUUAAUCUAAAAAAUCAUUGCACUUAAUCAACUUAUCUUUUUCAGCUAAUCAAGACUAAAAAUUAGAUUAGAAUUUACUUUAAGUCCAUGUGAAUCGAUAUUUUACUAGAACCGUACACUUGCAGAAACCUAUCAAAGACCCUAUUGAUGUAUAUGGAAUCGUAGUUACCUAUCAAAGCUACAAAAUUUAGAUCGGACUUGGGGGUCUUUCUAACCGUUCUUGAAGUCGUAGGGGGGUUCGUUUACCGGAUGUAGCAUCGAAGGCUUGAGUGCAGAGUUCGAAGGGGUGCACAAGUAUUCAAGGAUCCGAAGAUUCAAGAAGCACCAAAUUUAAGGGUUACUUGGAGUUUGGGGGAGUGUUUUACAUAGGAGUUGAAGAAUUAGGUUUUAAUUUCAAGGAACUCUUGUAAACACAUUGUAUUCAACAUUUGUUACAUGGUGGAUGAUCUCGGUGAAGAUGUACUUAAUCAAGAAGAGUAGAGGUAGAUCUAGAGAGGACGAGAAAGAGCAAUCUAUUAUAAAAAUAUCGGUGUGAUCUCUCUUUCCCUAUCCUCUUUACUUUUAGAUAUUGCAUGUGAUUAAUUGAAUAAUUUUUAGGAUAAUUUCUAGUGUUGAUCUAAGUUGUUUUUCAUUGAAAAUCAAUCUAAUUCAUUGAAUUAGGUUUCAUAUAAUUUGCUUAGAUCAAUUGAAUGCAAAAUCUAUUCAAUUCUUCAAUUACACAUGUAUUGUGUUUUUUAUUUGAUAACUUAGUAAUUUUGUUCAUAUAGAUUUGGUUUGAAAUUGUCUAUUGUUUUAUACAUUGUUCAAGGAAUAUUAAAGUUUGAUUGUAUAAUAACAUUUAGUAACAAGGUGAUUGCAACACUUGAAAAAUUGUUAGCUGAUAUAGUGAUAUAGUAACAAUUGAGUAAAAGUGUUAGAUCCAAUACAACAAGUACCAUCCCUAAAAAAAAAACAAAAAUACAAGUAACAAUAGAACUCAUUCGUUAUUCAUUCACGUGUUAAAAAAUUUAGCUGAAAAAACAGUGUACUGGAGGUGGAACCUGUUUUAAUAACAUUAAUAUAUAGAUAUUAUUAUAUAUGCAUUGAACCCUGUAUGAUUUAUUGAUAAAAAUUCCACAUUACGUUAUUUGUCAUUUAUGCUUGAAUAUAAAAAUACAAAACAGUGUUUUUUCUUAUUAAAUUUUUUAAUUAAUUUAUAAAGACUUUUAAUAACUUAGUGUUUACCAAUUGCACUCAUUAAUUCUUAAUUAUAGAAUAAUUGUAAACCCAUUUUAGAUCCUCCAAAAAUGAAGAAAGCUCAUUCUUAGGACAACACAAAAUGGAAGAAACUCAAGAUUGUUGGCAUAUUGGUAGACUAUUUCUGUUUGACAAAUUCAAUAAUCUAGUUUAUAGUUUAUAAGUCCGAAUGAUUAAAAAAUAUAUGUUUCAUAACUGUUUUUUCAUCACAAGUUUUAUAGUUUAUUUUAUUAGUUUGUAGGUUUUUUUUUAGACUUUAUUCCAAAUGUGGAAUAACGUUUGAGAUUAUAGUUUAUCCUUUAUAAUCUAUAUUAUAUAUAAUGAAAAUAGGGGGAUUUUAGGCUAUCUUUUUUGUUAUUCUAAUUAUAUCCUUAAAUAAAAAGAAAUCAAAUAAUGUAAUAUUGUUGGUGUAAUUAAAAAAAUAAGAAUUUUUGUUAUAUUAUUGUUGUCAUUGAGAAAGAUAAAUAAAUAUAGUUUGUUGAGUUUGUUACAUUUGAAAGUCACAUAUAUUUAUACUUAUAAUUUCAAUCUAUAUCAAAGAGUUUAUAUAAAAUAUCGGUUGUAAUUUACAAGCAGAAUUUCUAUAAAUUAUCAUAGAUAAUCUAUACACGUUCACGUAAUAAAAAAAAGCAGAAAGAUGCGCACGUAAAUGCCCGUCUUUGCACUAGUUUAUUAUAAAAAAAAUGCUAAAAUGUUCAGUUCUUUUGGUCAUACUGCACAAAUUAUUUGGUAGCUUGACAUAUAUGUUACUGAUGUAAACUUCACUCUCACUUUAAUUAUGUUACUCCACAGUCCUCUAAAAUUGUGUUUCUCUUUUUUCCCUAAAACUUCUCUUUUGGAUUAUUCAAUCCGAAUUAAGUUGUUUCUGGUUUGAAAUAUAUAAUUUGAACUGCUUCUAUAUAUGUUUUCUCUUUAUUUUGUGGCUAUUUAUUAAUUGUGUGUAUAUCUGAUUUUAACACUUUCAAAUAUUGAUCGCAUGGGCUGUGUUAGGAAUGAUAGAAUUUCCUUGACUGCAUCUUCUAGGUGAGAGCAGACGUAGAAGAAUGUACUAGAAAGGAGAGUGGUCAAGGGCAGGGGCAUGGUCCGCAAUGCUGAGACGCAGAGAGGUCGUCAGUUCCUAGACAUUAGUGGAAGUUUAGGGCGCAUCGGGGAACAUGUCAGAAAUAUUUAACUUUUUUAGUGAAUAUUUUUUUAAUUUAAAAUUUUUAAAGAGUGUCUCGAAGAUACUCGUUGGCAAGACUGAUAAGUUGUAGUUAAUGGUGUUUUUAACAUUUAAAUUCAAUAAUAUUUACGUUGUUUUAGUUUUAAUUUAGAUUCAUUUUACUGGAAAGCAUUAGUUUUUGUUUUCAUAAUCAAAAAUUUGAAGAACAGUGUACCUGGAUCAAGAGCGAGGAUAAAGAGCCAUAAAGCAACAACAUGGAUUGUUCGUGGUUCCAUCUGGGUUGUGCACUUCUUAAAAUGUCAGAAUUUCAAAAGUUGAAGUACAAGCACGACCGUGCCCCCCAACACCGUAGAAAUAAGCAUGAUUGUGCGCUUCAGAAGCACGACUUUGCACCCCUCAAAACAUGUCAAAAGUUGGAAAGGUGAUCAUGACCGUGUACCCUUGAAGCAUGACUGUGCACCCUUGAAGCACGACCGUGCGUCUUGUGCAGAGAAAAUAGUUGUUACAACCUUUUAGAAUUCUUUAGUUUAUGGCUUGUAACUCGUUUUUAAUAUAUUAUAUGAGGCUCUAGGCUAUAAAUAUACCUCACUUCUAAGGAAAAAAGAAUCUUAGAUACUUGUAAACUUACUCUAAAGUUGAAAACAUAAUUUUGCAAUGUUCUAAGUUCUUUGUUCUUUAUUUUUCAUUUCUUUACAUUUGUGUUCUUUACUCUUCUGUUCUUUACAUUUUAAGUUAUUUACUUUCAUGUCUUUUACUUUCUUGUCUUUAUAUAUUAAUCAUUCGUCUACUAUGAGAGAGAGAGAGAGAGAGAGAGAGAGAGAGAGAGAGAGAGAGAGAGAGAGAGAGAGAGAGAGAGAGAGAGAGAGAGAGAGAGAGAGAGAGAGAGAGAGAGAGAGAGAGGUGAUAUUAGUGCAGAACACAUAGCAAAAGAGAAUGAAAAAAGAAGAUCCCGAUCCUUUUCUAAAGGAGAAUCAACCAUCUAUAUAACGACAAAUUUAAACCCAUCAAGUACAAAAAAACGAUCAAGGUAAAAAAUAUAAACGGAACAUUGAACAAUUUUAUUAAAUUAUAAUAAACUUCAAAGGGUAAAAUUGGUUUUUAGAUAAACAUAUAAGGGGUUACCAAAUAGGGUUACAAGUUAUAAGCUUGUGAAGAAAACGUCUUGGUUGACUUCAAUGACUAAAGUAACUAAGACCAAAGAGUGAAUGAUUUAAUUCGGAUUUUAUCUAAGUCAUUGACCAAAAUUACAUCUUGUUACACUUUUAAGGAGAAAAAUGGUUGUUUUCUCAAUAAUGUUUUCCAAUAUUAAAUUAAUGUUGUUUUCUGCCUUAGGGAUGUUACCAAUUUGUUAUGUUGGAGUUACCUUUAGUGCUAAGAAACCUUUAGACCAAUAAAAAUAUUUUGAGUCCCUUUUAAAGUGGUAAAUACACUAAUAUAAAGUCAUUGUCAAUUGAUGUUAGGACUAUUUAUUAAUAAUGCAAUAUUUACUUGUUGUUCUUUGGUAGACACUUAAGGUGCGUUUGAUUUGUUAAAAAAUGAAGGACAGAACAACUCUAGUUGUCCAGUGUUUGAUUUGUAAAACUGUUUUAGGUACAAGACAAUUUGGAGGCAAGGGACAGGACAAAAACUCAUUUUUGUCCCUCACCAACCCACAACACAACUUUUUGUCCCACGUACAAGUUGUCUAAAAUACCAAAAUAGCAUUUUGUCCCUCAAAAAUCGUAUAAAACAAAAAAUUACUCAAUGCCAUAAAAAAUUUGUCCUGUCUUGUUCUGCCUUGUGUUGUACUGUUCUAUCUUGUACUGUUUUGUCCGGUACUUGCUGUUUUGCAAACCAAACACACCCUUAGAGGUCAUUUUUGUGGACUGUAGGUACCUAAAGCUCUAUGAACUUGGUUAUAUCAUAGAUAACGUCGUAUUGGAAAAACGGAAAUGAAAGACUCAUCUCUCACUCUACUUAGGGCUAGCCAAUUGUCAAACGCCAAUUGUCAAACUUGGUUACAAUUAAUUUUUUUUGGAAAACUUAUUUUGAAUUUUCUACAUGUCAUGAAAAAUUCAAAUUUCUGUUUUCUGAUUAGAAGAUCAAUAAACGGUUCAAUAUCAUCACAAUCUCCAAAUCAUAACUUCAUUCAUUUGCAAAUCUAGAGCACAUAUAUCACGAUUUUCUAUCAUGAUUUGCAUUGAUAUAAGUAAGUAUAACACAUAUAUUUUACUCUUAACUUAGCCAUACAUUGCGGAUUUACUUAGUAGAUAGAGUAAUGUUUUUUUUUAAACAACAAAUUUUAUUCAUAAGCUAACCCAACACAAGAAGUGAAGAGGCUAGAGGAAACACACAAGACAACAGAUACAUAAAGACAACUAAACCACCCAAACAAUCCUUAAUACAAUAGAAUAACAUCAGAAAAACCAGCCACCUAAACUUCCUAGUACCAUGAAACAAUGUCAGGUCGCGUUGAUUUUUAGGCUGGAGGGCAAUGUUUGUUUCGGAAGUUCUCGACUUUCUUCAACAAAGGGUAGUGCUUUUUGCAGAAAUCGGGUAUAUGGGGUAUAUGUACUGGUUUAUCUUUUGGGAUUAAAUUUUUGAUUUUUGGGAUUAAUGCUUCAACUGCGGGACCAAAGCUAACAGCAUCAGCAAAAUGUUGUUGAGGAGCAAGCAUAAAAGCAGCAAGGAAUAACACUAAUAAGGAUAAGAAAAAUGAAUUAGCCAUUUUAAGAAGUGAUAUAAUUAUUAGUGUUGGUGCAUAAUACAUAUGGAGUAUACUGGUUUUAUACUAGUUAGAGACUCAAUGUGAGUUUAUGGUCGAUCUAAGUCAUUUACUAAAUGUCAAAAUUGUGUAUGAAUUGAAUUAUUCAACAAUGUUACAAGUUCCAUGUAGUUGCUACUAGUUUAUGAAUUGAAUUAUUCAUUCGAUUCUCCGCGCGACUCAGGUGCAUGCCGAAACCGUUUUAAUUAUAUGAGCAAAUUAAUAAAUAAAUGGGUUGGUGCUUAUGAUGGUGCUAAGCGUUUGCAAGGAAGCGGUUGGUCGAAAGAUGAUGUUUUGGAAAAAGCCCAUGAAUUAUAUGUGAAACACCCCGUUUUCCCAACUUGAAUUUUUUUGCAUAAAUCAGAGUAAAACAACUAAACAGGAUGCUGCACUUCUUUCAAAUCUGAAUAUAGUAAAAUUACUAAUUAUCUCAAUCAUCAAAUUAAAUCUUAUUGCAGCGGAAAUUAGUUCAACGUUUAAAACAACCUUGGCACAAAGGCCUCAAUGUAAAAUCUCAUAAAAUUAUUCCAACAACAUGUUCAUAAAACUUCAUAAAAUAAUACGUAAGGAACGUAAAGCAACAACAAAAUUCUCAUCCCGUUACGUAUCAGAGCACCUAAGACACACGUGAGAGAAUCCACUCACGACCGCAACUAUUCUUGGUUACCUGCAAGUUACUCAAUUGUGAGGGCAACAUUUCCAAGCAGAAGGGGUGAGAUUUCACAUUCAAUAAUAAUAAGCAUAUAAUUCAUCAAAUUCAUUUAACAACUUAAACUUCAUCAAUUAGUAACACUAACUCUUCGCAUAAAUACUUCAUUAAUUAAUAACAUUAACUCUUCCUAUAAGACUUCAUUAAUAACUCAAUCAACUUCUAAUCAUCAUUAACUUCAUAUUCAUCACAUUAUAUACAACGUCAUACAGCACGUAAUAAUCAAAUCAUAAACAUCAUCAUAUAAAAACCUAAUCAUCACAUCAUAAACAUCAUCUUAUAACAUCAUAUAGUUCACAUCAUAAACAUCAUCAUAUAACAACAUAAACAUCACAACAUAAACAUGAAAUAAGGUUAUAAGGUUGCACUCAAAAAGUUUUAGUGAUAGUCAACUAUGAGAAUAGGUCUAAUUACUGUUGAGAUACAUUCAUGUAAUCUUAUAGGAAACAUGAAAUACCAAAGAACAUCUUGUCCUUAGAAAUGAAUAGAGAAAUAGAUAUGGAAUGUUUAGGAUUUAACUUUAUGAUGAAAACCGCAAUCUCAUGACGCAUUUUUAUAUCUAAAUUUUAAUCAAAAAAAAUAAUUGCACUUAAUCAAUUUAUUUUUUUCAGCUAAUCAAAACUAAAAAUUAGAUUAGUAUUUACUUAAAGUCCAUGUGAAUCGAUAUUUUACUAGAACCGUACACUUGCGUAAACCUAUCAAAGACCCUAUUGAUGUAUAUGGAAUCGUAGUUACCUAUCAAAGCUACAAAAAAAAUUAGAUCGGAAUUGGGGUCUUUCUGACCAUUCUUGAAGUCGAAGGGGGUUCGUUUACUGGAUGUAGCAUCGAAGGCUUGAGUGAAGAGUUCGAAGGGGUGCACGGGUAUUCAAGGAUCUGAAGAUUCAAGAAGCACCAAAUUUAAGGGUUACUUGGAGUUUGGGGGAGUGUUUUACAUAGGAGUUGAAGAAUUAGGUUUUAAUUUCAAGGAACUUUUGUAAACACAUUUGUAUUCAACUAUUAUAAAAAUAUCGGUGUUAUCUCUCUUUCCCUAUCCUCUUUACUUUUAGCUAUUGCAUGUGAUUAAUUGAAUAAUUUUUAGAAUAAUUGCUAGUGUUGAUCUAAGUUAUUUUUCAUUGAAAAUCAAUCUAAUUCAUUGAAUUAGGUUUCAUAUAAUUUGCUUAGAUCAAUUGAUUGAAAAAUCUAUUCAAUUCUUCAAUUACACAUGUAUUGUGUUUUUGAUUUGAUAACUUAGUAAUUUUGUUCAUGUAGGUUUGGUUUGAAAUUGUCUAUUGUUUUGUACAUUGUUCAAGGAAUAUUAAAGUUUGAUUGUAUAAUAAGAUUUGUAUCGUGAAUCUCUCAAUUCUAAGAUUAAGUCUCAUUGCACAUAUAUUUGACCUUUUGAUUCCUUGAUUGUCAUUGUUCGACCACGAAUCCAAUAGUCAAUUUUGUUGAGAGAGAGAGAGAGAGAGAGAGAUUGGAUGGACGGGUGAUAUUAGUGCAGAACACAGCAAAAGAGAAUCGAAAAAAGAGGAUCUUGAUCCUUUUCUAAAGGAGAAUCAACCAUCUAUAUAAUGACAAUUUUAAACCCAUCAAGUACAAAAAUAACGAGCAAGGUGAAAAUAUAAACGUAACAUUGAACUAUUUUAUUAAAUGAUAAUAAACUUCAAAGGGUAAAAUUGGUUUUUAGAUAAACAUAUAAGGGGUUACUAAAAAGGGUUACAAGUUUUUUUUUUUUUUUGAAAGAAGGGAUACAAAUUAUAAGCUUGCGAAGAAAAGACGGUUAUCAAACACAGCCUAUGCAGCUCAUGAAGCUGCCAUAAAAAUUUUAAUAGUGGGGGAUGUUUAAUGAAGAUUAGUAGUAGUGUUACGUUAUUCAUGGAGCUAUAGUUAUAAAUAAUUUUAAAGUGGGUAAUGUUUAUUGAAGAUAGGGAGAUCGAAGCGGAAAUGCUGAAAAAUGAUGAUGGAAAAAUAUAAAUCGAUAUUAUCUUUUAUUUUAGUCAGAAUUUAAAUUUGGUAUUUUUCAGUAUCCAUGUCGGCGAUUUUGACUAAUUUUGAUUAAGUAAACGUCUUAGUUGACUUCAAUGACUAAAGUAACUAAGAACAAAGAGUGAAUGAUUUAAUUCGGGUUUUAUCUAAGUCAUUGACCAAAAUUACAUCUUGUUACACUUUUAAGGAGAAAAAUGGUUGUUUUCCCAAUAAUGUUUUCCAAUAUUAAAUUAAUGUUGUUUUCUGCCUUAGGGAUGUUACCAAUUUGUUAUGUUGGAGUUACCUUUAGUGCUAAGAAACCUUUAGACCAAUAAAAAUAUUUUGAGUCCCUUUUAAAGUGGUAAAUACACUAAUAUAAAGUCAUUGUCAAUUGAUGUUAGGACUAUUUAUUAAGAAUGCAAUAUUUACUUGUUGUUCUUUGGUAGACACUUAGAGUUCAUUUUUGUGGACUGUAUGAACUUGGUUAUAUCAUAGUUAACGUCGUAUUAGACAAACGGAAAUGAAAGACUCAUCUCUCACUCUACUUAGGACUAGCCAAUUGUCAAACUUGGUUACAAUUUAUUUUGUUUGGAAAACUUAAUUUGAAUUUUCUACAUGUCAUGAAAAAUUCAAAUUUCUGUUUUCUGAUUAGAAGAUCAAUAAACGGUUCAAUAUCAUCACAAUCUCCAAAUCAUAACUUCAUUCAUUUGCAAAUCUAGAGCACAUAUAUCACGAUUUUCUAUCAUGAUUUGCAUUGAUAUAAGUAAGUAUAACACAUAUAUUUUACUCUUAACUUAGCCAUACAUUGCGGAUUUACUUAGUAGAUAGAGUAAUGUUUUUUUUUAAACAACAAAUUUUAUUCAUAAGCUAACCCAACACAAGAAGUGAAGAGGCUAGAGGAAACACACAAGACAACAGAUACAUAAAGACAACUAAACCACCCAAACAAUCCUUAAUACAAUAGAAUAACAUCAGAAAAACCAGCCACCUAAACUUCCUAGUACCAUGAAACAAUGUCAGGUCGCGUUGAUUUUUAGGCUGGAGGGCAAUGUUUGUUUCGGAAGUUCUCGACUUUCUUCAACAAAGGGUAGUGCUUUUUGCAGAAAUCGGGUAUAUGGGGUAUAUGUACUGGUUUAUCUUUUGGGAUUAAAUUUUUGAUUUUUGGGAUUAAUGCUUCAACUGCGGGACCAAAGCUAACAGCAUCAGCAAAAUGUUGUUGAGGAGCAAGCAUAAAAGCAGCAAGGAAUAACACUAAUAAGGAUAAGAAAAAUGAAUUAGCCAUUUUAAGAAGUGAUAUAAUUAUUAGUGUUGGUGCAUAAUACAUAUGGAGUAUACUGGUUUUAUACUAGUUAGAGACUCAAUGUGAGUUUAUGGUCAAUCUAAGUCAUGUACUAAAUGUCAAAAUUGUGUAUGAAUUGAAUUAUUCAACAAUGUUACAUGUUCCUUCCAUGUAUUUGCUACUAGUUGAUGAUCAGUCCCUACCUAUCCUUUAAUUUUCCACACAACAAGACCAUUCAGUAAUAUUGGCUCUAUCUCUCCACUUGUUUGCCCACCAUGGUUUAGCUGAAAAAACAGUGCAACUUGUUUCAAUAACAUUAAUAUAUAUAGAUAUUACUAUUUAUAUAUGCAUUGAACCCUGUAUGAUUUAUUUAUUUAUAAAAAUUCCAAAUAGGUUACUUUAUUUGUCAUUUAUGCUUGAAUAUGAAAAUACAAAACAGUGUUUUUUCUCAUUAAAAUUUUUACUAUAAAGAUUUUUAAUAACUUAGUGUUUACCAAUUGCACUUACUAAUUCUUAAUUAUAGAAUGAUGAUUAAAAAUUGUAUGUUUCAUAACUGUUUUUCAUCACAAGUUUAUAGUUCACUUCUCAGACGUUAUUCCAAAUAACGUUUGAGAUUAUAGGUUAUCAUUUUAAUUUCAUGUUUACCUUUAUUAUUUUGUUUAAGAUUUAUUUUUAUCCUUUUUAAUAUAUACUAUUUAUAAAGAAAAUAUAGGGAUUUUGGGCUGACUUUUUUGUUAUUCCAAUUAUACCUUUAAAUAAAAAAAAAUCAAAUAAUGUGAUAUGGUUGGUGUUAAUAAAAAGAUAAGAAUUUUUGUUAUAUUAUUGUUGUCAUUGAGAAUCAUAAAUAUUGUUUGUUGAGUUUGUUACAUUUGAAAGUCACAUAUCAUACUUUUAAUUUUUGUCUAUAUCAAAAAAUUUAUAUAAAAUAUCGUUUGUAAUUUACACGCAGAAUUUCAAUAAAUUAUCGUAAAUAAUUUAUACACAUUAACGUAAUAAAAAGAGCAGAAAGAUGAACAUGUGAAUGCUCGUCUUUUCGCUAGUUUAUUAUAAAGAAUAUGCUAAAUGUUUGGUUCUUUUGUCAUACUACACAAAUUAUUUGGUAGCUUUAUAUAUAUGUUACUAAUGUUAAUUUCACUCUCACUUUAAUUAUGUUACUCCAGAGUCCCUCUGAAAUAAUGUUUCUCUUUUUGCCCUAAAACUUCUCUCUUGCCAUCCAAAAUUUAAAACUCCCAUAUUAUAUGAUUCAUGAAGAUUUUUUGCUUCAAAACAUUGAUCAGGUCUUUUCAAACACGGACAACAAGGUAGGGUAUCAUUCCUUCCCUUUAGUGUUAUUUGAAUCUUUUUUUUUUUUCUUCUGUAAACUAAAACCUUAUAGAUUAUAUAAUAAUCUGAAUCAAGUUGUUCCUGGUUUGGAUUAUAUAAUUUGACAUGCUUCUAUAUAUAUGUUGUUUUGUUAUUUUGUGGAUAUUUUUUUAUUUUUUUUAGACAAAAGAGGAAUUAAAUUAAAAUAGAAAAGGAGGUAUAAGAUUGGGGGCAAUGACCUGACCAGUAAACCACAAAAUCAAAAUACAACAAUUUCAGUACAAAGUGGUAUACAACGAACACAACCCUAAACAAUCACUACUACGGACAAUUCAGCGAACCCACGUAUGAGCGCCAAACCGAAUUGCAAAAAAAACGUAGAGUGAGUAUUCAGAACUUCUAAAUAGGCGUAUGGAUCGACUGCCAACACAAAAACGAUCCAAGAUCAAGCAGCUCCCAUCAAAUAUCAGCAAGCAAUAAACGCCCUUUCGGGCCAACCAUUCCAGUCGUAGUUCAGUUCGAGGGAUGAACAAACGACAUAAAUGUAAAGCAGUCCACUGACAACGCAUAAAGCAACCGUAGCAGAUAAAGUCCUGCAGGUACGACAUCAACAACUAUCGUCAACCAGAGCGUCUACGCACUUAGCCCUUUCGUGCAUAUCAGGCGAAACAAGUCUUGUUGAAUCCAGAUCGAGGGAUGGUAUCCAACCAAACAUCGCACAAAUGAACAGAACCAUAACCAAAUCUUAAAUCCAGACAAACCAAAUUCAAAAUUUCAACUAAACCGGAUAGCCAGAAUAAGACCACCACCAAUCUUCAUCUUCCCGAAACAACAUAAAACACCAUUCGAUUCUUCAUGGUCUUCUUCUUUCAAACUAGUGCGUCUUCCUGGAACCGCCAUUGAUGUGAAAUUCGACUAUCUUUGCCGCCGCUUCAACUUCAAACUACUAUGCCAUUGACGCUUUUAAUUUAGUGGGAGAAAAAAGAAAAAGAUCGAAAUGAAAGUAGAAGAAGAAGGUUUGGUGUGUGUUUUUGAAGAAGAAGACGAAGAAAAAAAAAAGUUUGUGUUGUUACGUGUGAGAGGGUGUGGUGGUAAGCUUGUAUAUGAGAGAGAAAUAUAUGUCUAGAGUUUUGAUGUCUAAAGAAGACCACAAUUAAUGUGACAUUGGAAAAUGAAAGGGUGGAUGCAUGGGUACCAAAAUCUCAUAAUUAUUUGUUGGAAGAUGCAUAAGGAAGAGAGAGUUAUCCCCAAUAAAUGAGAGUGGGGAAUAGUUGAAAGAAGUGGCUUUUACAAAGUAGAAUGCUGAUUAGAAUUAACAAUUAAGUGUAGAUGAUCAACGGUUGAUGUUGAAUGGCGCCUAAAUGAUGAUCAGCAUCCAAUGGCUUGCAAAAUUGGAGAGAAAAAUGAGGGGGGAAAAUUAGGGUUAAGGAUAGCUUCGGGGGAUAAGCUUUAGUAAGUAAGAUUGUCUUAUAUACUUACAUUAUUUUAGGUCUAAAUUUCAGAAACCAUUAUUUGACAAUUUUUUUGACAAUUUUAUCUCACAUACUCACAUUAUAUUUUUACUUCUCUUUUUGUUGUUUUGGUUUUUAUUUUCAUACCUAAUUUUCCUUGUAAAUCUAUAGUUGUCUCAUAAAUUAUCGUUAAAAUUGUUGUUCAAAUAACACAACUCUUAUUUCUAAUACUCAAAAUUUGUUCAAAUUAAGUUUUUAAAGAACUUCUAAUAAAGUCAGAUUAAAGUUUUUUUGAACUUUUUAAAUACUUAAAUUGAAUUUUCUCCAAUAUACAUAUUAGAGAAAGAAAAAAAAUAAUGAUAGGAGGGAGAUGCAAAACUUAUGUUUUCUUUCUCUAGAAACAUAUUUUGAGUUUUCAAUAUCAUCAAAAUCUCAAAAUCAUAAACUUUAUUUAUUUGCAAAUCUAGAGCACAUAUAGCGCGAUUUUCUCUCAUAAUUUACAUUGAUAUAACACAUAUUAUGUUCUUACCUUGCCCAAACAUUCGGGAUUUAAUUGAUGAUGUAAAAGACGUUUUUAAAUGUAGAAUAAGAAAGAUGGAAAACCUCCAAGCCAAAUUAUACACAAGAUAUACAAAUUAUACACAAAAAUUUCAAAUUUCAAUUUUCUCGAGAGUAUUCUUAAAUGAUCAAUCAAUGAUUCAAUAUAAUCACAAUCUCAAAAUCAUAAACUUUAUUUAUUUUCAAAUCUAGAGCACAUAUAGCGGGAGGAGAUUGUCUCGUGUGAUUUUUCUCUCAUGUGUAAUCCAGACCCUCCAUUAAAUAUGUGAGAUAAUGUGUUUGUAAUAUAAAAUGACCGAACGCAAGAUAAAUUGUUUUUUUCUAAACAAUAAAUUUUAUUCAUAAGCAUUCCCGUGAGCUUAGCUCAGUUGGUACGGAUAUUGCAUUUUAUAUGCAGGGGCUGAGGUUCGAACCCCAGACACCCCACUUCUCCACAAUUAAAUUGUGUGAGCUCUAACCACUAGACUACUUGACCAAGAAAAAAAGAAAUAUUCAUAAACUAACCCAACACAACACAAGAAGUGAAGAGGCUAUAGAGGAAAGACACAGGGUAACAAUACAUAAAGACAACUAAACCAAGGCUAAAAAGCCACAACACAUGUAAAUGGCUUAUCACAGCAGAAAACAAGGUAUAUCAAUAUCAUGUGUGACUACAAAACCGCCCAAACAACCCUUAAUACAAUAGAAUCACAGCAGAAAACACCCUUAGUAGAUAUUGAUAUGCCUUGCCGCGUUGAUGUUUUAGAAAUGUGCAGGUGGAGGGCAAUUACUGGGUCGGUUAUGCCCGUUUUUCCUCGAGCAGGGAUUUAAUGAGGGCUUUUGGGAUGGUUUAGGACGAGGGAAAGGUACUGGUUUGGAUGGAGUGAAAUGGGGUAAAUGCUUUAUGAUUCCUGGAGGGAGAUGUAUGGCAUCAACAGCAAAAUGUUGAGGAACAAACAUAAGAGCAGCAAGGAAUAACACUAAUAAGGAUAAGAAAAAGGAUUUAGCCAUUUUAAGAAGUGAUAUAAUUAUUAGUGUUGGUGCAUAAUACAUAGGGAGUUAAACUGGUUUUAUACUAGUUAGAGACUCAAUGUGAGUCUAUCGUCAAUCAAAGUUAAAAUUGUGCACGAAUUGAAUUAUUCAACAAUGUUACAAGUUCCAUGUAUUUGAUACUAGCUGAUGAUCAUUUAGUAUUAUUGGCUCUAUCUCUCCACUUGUUUGCGCACAUGGUUUACCUGAAAAAACAGUGUACUGGAGGUGCAACUUGUUUUAAUAGCAUUUUUUGUUGAGCACAUCAUGAGACAACACCGACAUCCUAACUAGAUUAGUAUUUCAGGACGCCUCCGUCCUAUGCCUGCCAAUCUCUAAAUUUUAUUAAAAAAGGGUAAAAAUAUAUACAAGGAGAGUGAGGACUAGGCCAAAAUCCUCAAUGAAAAAACCAAAGGAAACAAUAAAAAAUAAAGCCUACUGAAAUCUAUAAUUGGGUGAGCCAAUUCUGUCUCUAUAGAAGUCGAAAUGCAACUCUGCACGAAGCGUGUCUAACCAAACAGAACCCUGAAUAUCAUGACCCUCGGACAUUCCAAUAUAACAUCAUUGGGAAGAUGGAGGAAGACCACUCUUUCCAAGGAUUUGAUAAUGCGGCUUUCCGAAGACUUACUUCUUCAUAUUUAACGCGGCUUUUUUGAGAGAACUUGCGUAAAUCCUUUCUUUACGGCCCGUUGAUCGUAUUCUUUGAUUCUGGCCCAUAAAUCCAAGUCAUUCUGUACGUUUUUGCUAGUGUUUUAAUAACAUUAAUAUAUAGAUAUUACUAUUUAUAUAUGCAUUGAACCUGUAUGAUUUAUUUAUAAAAAUUCCAAAUAAAUUACUUUAUUUGUCAUUUAUGCUUGAACAUAAAAAUACAAAACAUUGUUUUUUCUCAUUAAAAAAUUUAAUUAAUUUAUAAAGCUUUUUAAUAAAUUAGUGUUUACCAAAUUGCACUCAUUAAUUCUUAAUUAUUGAAUGAUUGUAAACUCAUUUUAGAACCUCCAAAAAUGAAGAAAGCUCAUUCUUAGGACAACACAAAAUGGAAAACACUCAAGAUUGUUGGCAUAUUGGUAGACUAUUUCUAUCUGACAAAUUCAAUAAGCUAGUUUAUAGUUUAUAAGUCCGAAUGAUUAAAAAAUGUAUGUUUCAUAACCGUUUUUUCAUCACAAGUUUUAUAGUUUAUUUUAUUAGUUUGUAGCUUAUUUUUUAGACGUUAUUUUAAAUAACGUUUGAGAUUAUAGUUUAUCAUUUUUAUUUGUGUUUACCUUUAUUAUUCUGUUUAAGAUUUAUUUUUAUCCUUCAUAAUCUAUACUACUACCGUUUAUUCUGUUUGACAUUAUAGUUUAUUUUUAUUUGUAGUAUAUAUAAAGAAAAUAGGGGGAUGUUAGGCUAGCUUUUUUGUUACUCUAAUUAUACCCUAAAAUAAAUAAAAAGUCAAAUAAUAUUAUAUUGUUGGUGUUAUUAAAAAGAUAAGAAUUUUUGUUAUAUUAUUGUUGUCAUUGAGAAAGAUAAAUAUGGUUUAUUGAGUUUGUUACAUUUGAAAGUCACAUAUAUUUAUACUUGUAAUUUUAAUCUAUAUCAAAGAGUUUUUAUAAAAUAUAGGUUGUAAUUUACACGCAGAAUUUCUAUAAAUUAUCGUAGAUAAUCUAUACACGUUAACGUAGUAAAAAGAGAAGAAAGAUGCGCACGUGAGUGCCCGUCUUUUCACUAGUUUAUUAUAAAGAAAAUGUUAAAAUGUUCAAUUAUUUUGGUCAUACUGCACGAAUUAUUUGGUAGCCUGGCAUAUAUGUUACUAAUGUUAAUUUCACUCUCACUUUAAUUAUGUUACUCCACAGUCCUCUAAAAUCGUGUUUCUCUUUUUGCCCUAAAACUUCUCUUUUAUGUUACUCCACAAUCCUCUAAAAUCGUGUUUCUCUUUUUGCCCUAAAACUUCUCUUUUUGAUUAUUCAAUCCGAAUCAAGUUGAUCUGGUUUGGAUUAUAUAAUUUGAACUGCUUUUAUAUAUGUUGUUUCUUUAUUUUGUGGAUAUUUGUUAAUUGUUUGUACAUCUGAUUUUAACACUUUCAAAUAUUGACCGCAUGGGCUGUGUUAGGAACGAUAGAAUUUCCUUGACUGCAUCUUCUAGGUGAGAGCGUAUGUAGAAGAAUGUAGUGGAAAGGAGAGUGGUCAAGGGCAUGGGCAUGGGCCGCAAUGCUGAGACGCAGAGAGGUCGUCAGUUCCUAGACAUUAGUGGACAGUUACGGCGCAUCGAGGAACAUGUCAGAAGUAUUUAACUUUUUUAGUGAAGAUUUUUUUAAUUUAGAAUUUUUAAAGAGUGUCUCGAAAACACUCAUUAGCAAGACUGAUAAGUUGUAGUUUAUGGUGUUUUUAUCAUUUAAAUUCAAUAAUAUGUACGUUGUUUUAGUUUUAAUUUAGAUUCAUUUUACUGGAAAACAUUAGUUUUUAUUUUCAUAAUCAAAAUUAUGAAGAACAUUAUACCUAGAUUAAGAGCGAGGAAAAAGAGCCAUGAAAGAGCCAUAAAGCAGCAGCACGGAUGGUCCGUGGUUCCAUCUAGGUCGUGGAGUUCUUAAAAUGUCAAAAUUUCAAAAGUUGAAGUACAAGCACAACCGUGUGCCCCAACACGGUAGAAACAAGCAUGAUUGUGCACUUCAGAAGCACGACUUUUGCACCCCUCAAAACACAACAAAAUGUCAAAAGUUGGAAAGGUGAGCAUGACCGUGCACCCUUGAAGCACGACCGUGAGUCUUGUGCAGAGAAAAAUAGUUGUUACAACCUCUUAAAGUUCUUUGGUUCAUGGCUUGUAACUUGUUUUUAAUAUAUUUGUCUGAGGCUCUAGGCUAUAAAUAUACCUCACUUCUAAGGAAAAAAGAAUCUUAGAUACUUGUAAACUUACUCUAAAGUUGAAAGCAUAAUUUUGCAAUGUUUUAAGUUCUUUGUUCUUUAUUUUUCAUUUCUUUACAUUUGUAUUCUUUACUUUUCUGUUCUUUACAUUUUCAGUAUUUUAUCUUCAUGUCUUUAUAUUUUAAUCACAUGUCUAUUAUGAUCAUAUGUUAGUAAACAAACUAUUCUAGUCUUGGAAUUGUUAGAAUAAUCAAUCUAAUGAUUGAAUGUUAAUCAACCCAAGUCUAGACUCUAUUUUAUAAGAAUCCAUUUUAUAAUCUAAUAUCAUCGUUACUAAAUUUUAUUUUAUAAUCUAAUAUCAUUGUUAUGAAAUUUUAUAACAAGUAUCAAACAAAGAACUGAGAGUUGAUGUUUGAUAUUGUUAUUUAAUCAUGUCUAAGAUAUCAAACGAAGGACCGAGAGGUGAAAUUUGAUAUUGGAAUAAAUGAGAUUGUAAGAGAUAAGCAAAAUAUGAAAAUAAUUUUAUGACUCUUAGGACAAUAAGGUUAUAAGGUUGCACUCGAAAAGUUUCAAUGAUAAUCAACUAUGAGAAUAGGUUUAAUUACUGUUGAGAUACAUACAUUCAUGUAAUCUGAUAGGAAACUGAUAGAAUAUGUGUUACUUAGUCAUGUAAUUUGUAUUAUUAAAAGAAUAUUAAUACGUAUUCAUUGUGUUAAUUAGUCAUUCAUUUUGUAUUCAUUAGUCAUUAAGAGAAUGAUAACAAUUUGAUGUAUAUAAUGCACUCAGAUUAUCAAUGAAAAUCAUUCAGCUAUUUUCCUAUAUGGUAUCAGCUAGGUUUUAGAUCCUCUCCUACUUCUUCUAGCCGCCCACCACCACCUUUUCUUCCCUAUACUUCCGUUAUAAACCGCCAUCCAUGGCUACCUCAACAACAGCUGAAUCAACCACUCUCUCAACAAAUUCCUCUCCCGUGACAGACACAUUUGUCUCAACGGCACCAUCAUCAAAAAUUCACUCGGCCUUCACUAUCAACAACGUGAAGUCUAUCAUUCCCGUAACCUUGCACAAUGGCAGAAUGCUUUUCAUUGAUAAUCUGAGUGCAUUAUAUACAUCAAUUUGUUAUCAUUCUCUUAAUGACUAAUGAAUACAAAAUGAAUGACUAAUUAAUAUAAAUGAAUACCUAUUAAUAUUCUUUUAAUAAUACAAAUUACAUGACUAAGUAACACAUAUUCUAUCACUCCCACGCAGUUGAUGCGGGAGGUUGUCGGACGCUGAGUCUGUCCCUAAAAUCUUGAAAUAAAACCAAUGGGAGACCCUUAGUGAAGAUAUCUACAAUUUGAUAGCGUGAUGGAACAUGUAGGACACGGAUGUCUCCACGAGCUACUUUUUCACAAACAAAAUGAAUGUCCAUUUCGAUAUGUUUUGUGCGUUGGUGCUGGACGGGAUUUCGGAUAGAUAUAUGGCACUAACAUCCUUAUUAUCUAAUCCUAAACUACAAUGCACACAACAAUUGCAAAACCCUAAUCCUUGGUUUUGAGCGGGAAAAUUGUGAUUUAACCACAUUUAAUGGCAUUUUUGAAUUUCAAAUCAUGUACCCUUUUGAAAUGUGUGCAUAUGUGCCUAAUUAAUGCAGAUUUUGAAAUUCAAAUAUCCCACCACUUGGAAUUGUGCUCGCUUCUUUCCAAGACAUGCAGUUACCCACUUCUCAAUGCAAAAGCAUCUGAACCAAACAAACCUAUUUCCUUGCAUUUUGCUCUUUCUCCCUCUCUCUCACUCCCCUCUCACGCCCAUUUUUCUCUAAUCAGAAAAGGUCAACGAUUUUCAGUCCCUCUUCUCUUCUCUCUCACUCCAGUUUUCUCUCAAAAAAAAGCCUCUUCUCUUCUCCCACGUUAUUUUUUUCUUCAUUUUCUAACAUUCUUCUUCAAUUCUCCAUCUCUCUCUCUCAUUGUUUCUCGCGUAGCUCUUCGUGUCUUAGUUUGGGUGUUCUCUUCAUCGCCGGUCAGCCUCACCAAGGCAAUAAGCAUCUUCAAGUUUUAUUGAAAGAGAAUGCUUCUAUGCAACAAAAUUUUCAAGACCUUCGAUCCCUCGGUAUGCGUUUUCAGUUUCGUUACGUUUUGAUUGAUUUUGAUUUCGCGAUUAGGAUUUUGGUAUCACCGGUGUUGUUUUGAUUGAUUUUUCCGAUUUGAUAGGAAAGGAGCUUGAAGAAGGUGGAGUUCUCAGUGAAUCGGCACUGUCGCGGAAGGUUUUUCUUUUCAUCAACGAUCUUCUCUCUCAUUCUCUCUCAUUCGCUGCUCUUCUACUAAGCUUUGAUUGUGGAACGUAUGAAGGCAGAGUGACAUCUGAUAACGAUCAGAAUCAAGGCUACUAAGCUUAGAUUAUGGCUUCUAGGGGCAGAGGAAAAUGAGGAAGAAAAAGCACCAUCAAUUACAAUCUGCUCUACAUGUAUAAUGUUUUCCGUAUUCGAAUUAUUUCAAAUUGCAAGUAAUUUAAAUUGAGUUUUAAGGUAGUUUUCUUUGACUGCAAGUAUAAGGGGCUUAUUUCACAAGGUUAUACUUAGAUGUGUAUAUUCACUAUUGAAGCUUAUUUUGAGUUUCCGUGAUGACUUACUUUAUCGAAAUCACGGUGUGCCGCCGCGAUUUAGAAAAAGUUAUAGGGUGCAGCUUUUACAAUAACUAAAAAUUAACUAAUGAUUUGCCUGAAGUUUCUAAUUCUUUUUAUUGGUCCGAUUACAGUCCCUCUCUGAUGAUUUUCUACAACUAUCAGAUUUGAUUGAAUCAACUAAGGUUAAUUAUUUUGUCCAUAAUUUUUGCAAGAUAACUCUUCAGUCUACUGUUUUAGGUCAAAAUUAAUUUAUUUUGUGUAUAGAACAAUAGUUAUGCAGACCACCCAUUUCAAUAGGAUAAUGUCAAAAUUAAUUUAUGCAGACCAUCCAUUUCAAUAAUCAAUAAUGUUUUUUUGGGUUUGUUUGUAUAAUAGCAGGUUUUUUAAGAUUUGUUUUGUGUAUAAUGUGUCAUUUCACUCCACGUAGCCAAUCUUAGUGUUUGUUCAUGAAUAGAAAGUGGCUCAUAAAACAAUUUAAGGGUUCGAUUGUUCUAUAUUAUCUUUGCUCAUCUCUCUUAGUGUUUGAAAUUAGUUCAAAGAGUGGUCUAAAAAUUCUGCUAACAUAUGAGGAUGACGCUUGCAUUGAUAGUUUUUUUUUUUAAAAAAAAAAAAAAAAUCGCAUUGUAUACACAUAAAUUCCUUGAAAUAUAAUUGUAUACACAACGUACACUACAUACGAGGUCAACUUUACGUCGCAAUAUCCAAGGUGACCUCCAGGAAUGGGUUGAAGAUUUUAAUGAAUGAUGAUAAUAGUAAUAGCAUGAAUAGCACUUCAAAUGUAGUUAUAAGGAGAUUUUCUGCAAUCUACCGAUUUAAGGUCUUUUUUAAUGUAUUUUUUUUAGAAACAAUUUAUUUUGUACCGCAAGCAUAUUUAAUUUCAAUACAUUUUGUAAUAGCAUAUUUUAUUUUGUACAGCACGGGUGGAUGGUCUAGUUAUCACAAUAAACUAAACUAGCCUUGUGAAUGGGGAAAUGUAAUUCCAAAAGCAAGUUUCAUAACCAACAAGAUUCAGAAACCGCAUUGGAACCCCUCGAUAUUCUGCUUCAGCACUUGAACGAGAUAAAGUAGGUUGUCGUUUGGAAGACCAUGAGAGUAAGUUGUCACCAAGAGAUACACAGCAACCAGAGGUGGAUCGUCAGGUAUCUAGGCAACUUCCCCAAUCUGCAUUGUGUAAACAAUCAAUGAUGAUGUAGAAGAAGAGUAAAGUUGCAGUCCAUACUCGCGUGUGCCCUGAAUAUAUCUCAGGAUGCGUCAAAGGGUGUGCAUGUGAUCAUCCAUUGGAUUGUGCAUAAAUAAACAUAUUUGUUGCACUGCAUAAGAAAUGCCAGGCCUUGUGAAGGUGAGGUAUUGUAGGGCGCCAGCAAGGCUGCGAUAUAGAGAAAGGUCUUCAAAUGGGGUGCUAGUUUUGGCUCUCAUCUUUGGUUUAGUAUCAACCGUUGUAGGACAUGGUUUACAAGAAGCCAUUCCAGCACGAUCAAUAAUUUCUUCUGCAUAUUUUUUCUGAGACAAAAAUAAGCCACCAGGAUGACGUGUGACAGCAAUACCCAAAAAAUAAUUCAACAAUCCCAAAUCUUUCAUAGCAAACUCGGAACUAAGGAGUGAUAUGAUAGACUUUCAAAGGUCGUCAGAGGAAGAGGAAGCAGUAAGAAUGAUAUCAUCUACAUACAGUAUGAGGUAGGCCAAAAGGUGGGUUUUUCCUAUAUGGUAUCAGAAAAACUCUGCUUCCCGGAACUCUGGCAGAGGUGGUCGAAAUGGUACUGGUAAUUAUUGAUCUAUAACAAUAACCAUAUACGAAGACUACCUCAAAAAAAAAAAAAAAAAAAACGUACGAAGGAGAAUCAACCAUCUGGAUAAUACAUAUCCUUAUUUUAUUUAUUUGAAUUUGAAUGGCAACCACCAAAGCCACAUAUAGAAAGAAUAUUUUCCUACCAAUCGUACAUGAUGCCCAUAACAAAAGAUAGGUUCCAUAAUAUGGCCCCAUAAUAUCCUUAUCCUUAUAAUUAUGGUUCAGAAAAUAAAAAACCUCGUUAAGUUUUAGGAUUAUUUUAAGUUGAUAAAUAUUAACGAGUAUCUUCAGAGCAUUUUUCAAACAUCUAAAGUGGUAAGAUUUUAUGAAAGUUGAGCAUUUAUUAUAUUGGAAAUUGAAGUCUUUACAUUUCUUUUAAAAAUAAUUUUUUCAUUAUAAAUGCUUAAAAGGUGCUCCAUGGACAUUCAUUAACAGGACUCUUUUAAAUUUUAGAAUGUUAGCAUUUCCCUAAAACACAUGUUAAAGAUAGAGAUAUAUUAUGGCCUCUCACGGUAGCACCCGCCUACGUAGCGAGUUUAUGGUCAAUCUAAGUCAUUUACUAAAUGUCAAAAUUAUGUAUGAAUUGAAUUAUUCAACAAUGUUACAAGCUCCAUGUAUUUGCUACUAGUUGAUGAUCACUAACUAUCCUUUCAUUUUCCAUACAACUAGACCAUUUUUUUUUAGUAUUAUUUGCUCUAUCUCUCCACUUGUUUCCACAAAUAUGAUUAAUUUUUUUCGAAAAUUUUGUUUUUUUAAAUAUGAUAUUAUGGAAAACAAAAUUCGAAAAUUUGAAUAUAUAUUAAUCUUUUCCACAAUUUUUUUAAAUAUUUCCCGAUUAUUUUUAUAAUUUUUCCAGAUUUUUUUCAUUAUUUUUUAUUUUACCAGAUUUUUUUAAUCAUUAUUAAUUUUUACAUUUUUUUUUUAAAUUUUUCAGUAUUUUUUUUAAUCAUUAUUCGUUUUUUAAAUUUUUUUAUUUUUAUUUUAAAAAAAUCACAAAUGCCACGUGGCGUUCAUUUACACGCGUGGCAUGAAAAAAAUUAAACAAAAAAAAAUUGACACGUCACUGCCACGUAGUAGAUUCUGCCGACACAUUGAGGUGAGGGGUCAAUCCUGAAGAAUCUUCAUUUUUCAAGGGUGGAAUCUAAAAAAAAAAAAUUACAGGGGCUAAAACCAAAAGUGCAUUAUAUUACAAAGGCCAAAAACACUAUUAACACUAUAUUAUUACUUCUUCUUUUUUAUAAAAAUCCAAAUAAAAAUCAUUUGCAUUGCAGCCAAUUGGCCAAAUGCAACAUGACAAGCGCAAAAUUGCUCCAUGUUGACUUGUGAGAACUCUUGUUCUAGAUAGAGAACCUUAUAGUUUUUGUUGUCACAGAAAAUGUUAAACAACUUUUUCCAUGCAAUUUAUGCGUCUGAAUCGCGCUUGAUGAUGGUGAUGAGAAUAUAUUCUGAGGUGGUGUCAUAUAUCCAUUAUAAUACGACAACAUCAAAAAGCGGCCAAAGAUUGGGAUUGAUUUCUUUGAGAGAGGGAGUUGUUGGCUUAUUAGUGGGUGAGGGAGGAAUGAUGUGAUGAAAGACUUGAUGAACCCUUGCAUGAAUUUUAAAGAGUUCGAACCACGUAUUAUAUUGGACCCUUUUUUAUACUAAACGUAACCUUGAUGAAAUUGGUGAUAAUUGAAAAUGGUGGUAGAGGGAUGGAUAGGUGUGGAAGGAGUUGGGGUUGAAAUUGUCCUUCGAGUGGUAGUAUUUUUGGGGAUGAUUCGGCCCUGAUGGUGAAUGAAGGAGAAGAGGAACGAUGGCGCUGUAUUAGGUUUACGAGAGAAGGAUGAGUACCAACAACUUACUGAUACCAUGUAAGAAUUAUAAUAAGAUAAUUAUUAGUCGUGUGUCAUUUGCAUUGAGAGGAUCCGUUGACACUAGGUGUCAAACUUUAGUUUGACAUCAAAUCUCAACCGUCUAUUAUGUCUAAUCUAAUGGUCUGUGAUUAUUUAUUAAAUUAACUUGUGUGAUCUUUUUCCCAUGUCUCACCUGAUCCCACGCCGGCUGUUCUGCUCCAUCUCCUUCAACUUAUCAAAGUUAAUAUGGCCAACAAUCAAAUACACACACAAAUUAAUUCUUUUUUUUUUUUAAAGAAGAAGAAGCUAAAUUAGCCCACACAAAUUGGCACCGGAGAGAAUCGAUCCUGAGACCUCGAGGAGGAGCACACUCCCAGAUCCCAAGUCAAUACCACCAGACCAACCCAAAUGAUAAAUAAGGAGUUAAUUCUAAAUAAGGAGUUAUACAUAUAAUUACAUAUUGUUGACAUUAAUUGUUCUCUGUGGGGCAAGAUACUUGAGGUGUAAGUUUCAUAAGAUGCAAGUUCUUUUAAGUCUAAAUUGUCUUAUACUUACAUUAUUUUAGGUCUAAAUUUCAGAAACCAUUAUCACAAAUUUUUUGACAAUCUUAUCUCACAUACUCGUACUAUAUUUUUACUUCUCUUUUUGUUGUUUUGGUUUUUGUUUUCAUACCUAAUUUUCCUUGUAAAUCUAUAGUUGUCUCAUAAAUUAUCGUUAAAAUUGUUGUUCAAAUAACACAACUCCUAUUUCUAAUACUCAAAAUUUGUUCAAAUUAAGUUUUUAAAGAACUUCUAAUAAAAUCAGAUUAAGUUUUUUUGAACUUUCUAAAUACUUAAAUUGAAUUUUCUCGAAUAUACAUCUUGGAGAAAGAAAAAAAAUAAUUAUAGGAGGGAGAUGCAAAACUUACGUUUUCUUUCACUAGAAACAUAUUUUGAGUUUUCAAUAUCAUCAAAAUCAUAAACUUUAUUUAUUUGCAAAUCUAGAGCACAUAUAGCACGAUUUUCUCUCAUAAUUUACAUUGAUAUAACACAUAUUAUGUUCUUACCUUGCCCAAACAUUCGGGAUUUAAUUGAUAAUGUAAAAGAUGUUUUCAAAUGUAGAAUAAGAAAGAUGGAAAACCUCCAAGCCAAAUUAUACACAAGAAUAUAAAACAAAGCAUUUACUUGGUAGAUAAUAUUUUCUUUUUAAACAGCAAAUUUUAUUCAUAAUAAGAUAACCUAACACAAGAAGUGAAGAGGCUAUAGGGGAAAGACACAAGGUAACAAUACAUAAAGACAACUAAACCAAUGCUAAAAAUCCACAUCACAAAACCACCCAAACAACCCUUAAUACAAUAUAAUCACAGCAGAAAAACCUUAACCAAAUCAAGCAAACACACCCAGACCUUCCCCUAACACAAAAUCAAACCAGUUUCCAUCAACACCACAUCAAUAGACCCCUUAAAUAAUUGAACAAAAACCAGCCACCUAAACUUCCUGGUACCAGUAAAUUACAAUUACUUAGUAGAUAUUGAUAUGUCUUGUUGCAUUGAUGUUUCAGAAAUGUGUGGCUGGAGGGCAAUCUUUGGGUCGUAACUUCCACAAUAUCUUCGAGCAGCGAUUGAUUUUGGGAGUUUUGAAUUUUGGGAAGGCAGCAUCAACAGCAAAAUGUUGAGGAGCAAGCAUAAAAGCAGCAAGGAAUAACACUAAUAAGGAUAAGAAAAAGGAAUUAGCCAUUUUAAGAAGUGAUAUUAUUAUUGUGUUGGUGCAUAAUACAUAUGGAGUUAACUGGCUUUAUACUAGUUAGAGACUCAAUGUGAGUUUAUGGUCAAUCUAAGUCAUUGUGUAUGAAUUCAAUCAUUCAACACGUAGGUUCCAUGCAUUUGGAAAACUAGUUGAUGAUUAAAAAUGUUCAAUAUAUUAGGCUAUGAAUUGUUUAUGAAUUGAAUUGUUG
Molecule: long non-coding RNA, 45682 nt
Filed under: Medicago truncatula (barrel medic)
Lineage: Eukaryota; Viridiplantae; Streptophyta; Magnoliopsida; Fabales; Fabaceae
Description: long non-coding RNA (MTRU_LNC000191)
Source: RNAcentral